Molecule: long non-coding RNA, 67022 nt
Filed under: Brassica napus (rape)
Lineage: Eukaryota; Viridiplantae; Streptophyta; Magnoliopsida; Brassicales; Brassicaceae
Description: long non-coding RNA (BNAP_LNC016973)
Source: RNAcentral
CAUUUUUGCCAGCCACCUACUGAAGUUUCAGAACUGUUGUCUGCUCAUCCUUUAAACUUCUUUUUUAUUUCCUUUAAACUAUUGUCUUAAAAGUUUUUAAUUGGACACAUUCACUAUUCUGAACCUUUGUGGAAUGAUAUUUGCUCUCUAUGUUGGCCAGUUUACUUCUUUUGCAAAGGUUUUUCUCAUUGCCAAAACCUUUGAUUCUUGUUUACUGCAGAACUACUAAAAUUAAAGGAUUUGAGAACUAUUAUUUUGUCAAAUAAUGUGGAAUGUAUAUUUCUCAACAGUAAUACUGUAGCUUCACUUGCUUCGCCGAAAACUAUGAACAUCCACGCGUAUUGUAAAACUCAUUAGUUGAAUCUCAUUUAGUUAACAUCUUCCUUGUUUCGGACGGCAUAAAAGAUUAAGUGGAUACGCUUAGGUAAGACUCUAAGUUGACUACGCCGUUCGGAGCUUCAAAUUAUAGUUUGUAUAAUAUAAAUCCACAACAUGAUUUAUUUCAAUUUUAUAUUUGACUUCGGAUAGUUUUCAGUUAUAUUUCUUUGACUUCAAAUUAUUUUUCAAUUAAAAGGCUUAUGAUAUAUAACAACAUAAUACGACAACGAUCUAGGGACGUCCCUAAAUGUUAAGAGUCAAACAAUUUAAUGAGGGUUUUCUAAAAACACUUUUUUUUUACAAAUUUGGAAACCUUUUUCUAUGUAAAAUUAAUAAAAAAAUUUGGGGACCCUAAACCGAUGUUUCAAUUCGCUGUGCUCAAAACCGCCCCUGACUAACAUACACAAAAACUGUAGAGUGUAAACAGCUGCUUUCCCGAAAGCCAAGUUUGUACUCAAACAAUUAACAAAUGAAAGCAUUAUGCUGAGUUUUUUUAAAGGAAGCAGCAACACUCAUAUAUUAUAUGAAUAUACAUUAGAAUUAAAACCAUUUUAUUUUUAAAGAAAAUGUAAAGGGAGACUAUAAAUAGUCUUACAAAUGUUUUAACUAGUGGCGAAUUCUUCUAACCGGAACCGCAUGUAACGGGUUGGCCUUGUGCAAGGUAAUACCAAAGGUUUCAUCCAUGUCGACAGCAUUUUGAAGCUUCCAGUCAAAGGAAUAAAGAAGAGAAAGAAGCAUAAGAGAUACCAUCUUCACGGCCAAAGGCAGUCCCGGACAAAUUCUUCGUCCAGCUCCAAACGGUGUUAACUCAUAAUUUUUACCUUUCACAUCAAUUUCUUUCCCCAAAAACCUCUCUGGCUCGAACCGGGUCGGGUUCUCCCACACCCCUGGAUCUCGUCCUAUGGCCCACACAUUCACCAAAACCUGAGCAUCUUUAGGAACAAAGUAUCCAAAAAUCUCAACAUCCGUUUCCGCUUCCCGUGGGAGAAGAAAAGGAACAGGUGGAUGCAAACGGAAAGUUUCUUUAACAAUUGCUUGUAUAUAUGGCAAUUCUGAGAUAUCAGGCUCUUGAACAAACCCGUUUAGGCCUAGCAUUUGUUUGAUCUCGGUCUGAGCUUUCGCCAUCGUUGUAGGGUUAGUAAGUAACUCUGCCAUUGCCCAUUCUAGGGUACUAGAGUUUGUGUCCGUGCCUCCUACAAACAUAUCCUGACAUAUAAUCACGUAUCAGUAUAUCGACAUUUCGGACAUAUAAAAACAAAUUAUGCGAUUCCAACUCAAGAGAUACCUCUAAAAUAUUUUUAUUCAACCAAAGCAUCAGAAGUUGACAUAUUCAUCAAAUGCAUGAUCAUCUAUGUAUAUAUAGUAAAAGUUUUUCUAAUAGUAGAUUAUAUAUCACACCAAAUAUAAAGAAAUGAACAGUAAUACUUAAAUAAAAGUUUUCUUUACAAAAUAAUAUUUCACUUUUAUUUCAUUUCCAUCUAAAUAAAACUACAUGUCUAGUAUAUAAUUUGUUUUUAAUCCAUAUGCUGUAAUAAAAAGUAGAUUUAUAAUACCAUUUAGUUAUAAGAAUAUUAGUGUACUUUUGUUGUUUUAUUGUUACAAUUUAAAAUAAAUGGUUUUAACAUUUAGAAGUUAUGGAUUGUACAAAAAUAAAUAAAUAAAUAGAGAACAUAUAUAUACUUCAAAUAUUAUUUUUUUUAAAGAGAUAAUCAUCGGAACAAUUUUUUUCUAUAAUUCCUUAAUUAAGUUUAUAGUAAAAACAGAAACAACUAUUCUAGAUGGUCUAAAGAUUUUUUAUCUCAUAACUAAUUGACUUUGAUUUCAUAUCCUAUAUGUCUUGAUAAUGCGGAAGAUGGCUUACCAAGAGAAGGUGUUCAAUAUCAUUUUAGUCGAGUUCUGCUUCUUCCCCUACGGUGAGAUCGAGAAGUGCAUCCAAAAAAUCGCGGUUGGAAGCAAAUUUUGGAUCAUUCCUCAGUGAUUUGUCCGCAGUUUUAAUAUCGAUGAACUCUCUGAAAACCUUAAACAAUUUAUCUGUACAAAACUUCAUCCUCUUGGUAUAACCUUGUAGAUUAAGAAACUCAAGAAACGAAAGAAGUUAGCAAGUUCUGGACUCCCAGCAGCUUCCAUGCAUUUGUCUUGGGGCCUCACUUGUAGUGAUGUGCUCCCAUAGACCUCUUCCUCCAAGAGCUGUCCUGGUCAAUCUCGACCAGGUAAUGUAGUUAGGACCUUUCAGGAUGACUGGAAUCCUCACUAGCUUGUGCUGCUCCAUCUUUGCUUGCUAUUGUCCAGCGGGUAAAAAAAGUAAAAAAUUCGCCAAGAAGAAAUUUGAAUUUCUGAGGCUAGACAAGAGAGAAAACAAGGGAAGCCAAGAUAUGUUCUCUAGAAAUGAAGAAAGUAAACCAAACAAGUGAAAGAGUAAGGUGAAUACAGUAAAUUUGCGGAAGCAGUUUGGUGUUCAAGAGCUUGGAGGCUCUGAUACCAUGUUAGAAAUUGAAGAACAUAGUGAAGAACAAGAGAGAGAGAGAUGUUUAAUCUAGAAAGUAAAGAGAGAGAUAGAGUAAAGAAAGAGAAUCUUAUUUGCUUGAUUGAUUUGCUUAUGGGAACAUCCUAUAUAUAUAAGGGUUACAAGUAUGGCAAAUGGUAGAUGAGAUAUGAUAAACUAAUAAUCCAUUGUCUUGAAACCUUAACCCACCAUGCAUGCUUAUCCCUUGUAGUGGCAUCUCCAUUGUCUUGAGACCUUAACCCACCAUGCAUGCUUGUCCCUUGUAGUGGCAUCUCCAUUGUCUUGAGACCUUAACCCACCAUGCAUGCUUGUCCCUUGUAGUGGCAUCUCCAUUGUCUUGAGACCUUAACCAACCAUGCAUGCUUGUCCCUUGUAGUGGUAUCUCCAUUUUCUUGAGACCUUAACCAACCAUCUUGUUUCUUAUUGCUUCAUCUUCACACUCCCCCUCAAGCUUGACCAUAGAGACUGGUCAAGCUUGGAAACCAUGAAGCAUUCCCUCAUUAAAACCUUUAGCUUGGAAAACCCUCAUGGGAUAAAAACCAAGCCAAGGAAAAAGAGUAGAACACUUCAUGGCUAAGAGGAUUAGUGUGAUGAAAAAUUUACGAGUCCUAACUUGGAAUGUAUGAACUCGCAAACCUUGGUGCUUGCAGCCUUGGUAAAGAUGUCAGCUAGUUGAUCUUCACUUCUUGUGUAGCACGGUAAGAUGAUCCUUUGUUCCACUGCUUGCCUAACUUUAUGACAAUCCACCUCAAUGUGUUUAGUCCUCUCAUGGAACACGCUGUUGGAAGCUAUGUGUAUUGCUGCUUGAUUAUCACAAUGCAUGGUGAUUGGAGUUGAUGUCUCUAUACCCAAGUCUCGAAGUAGGUUUCUGAUCCAAAUCAACUCACUAGUGAGCUUCCUCAUUGCCCUAUAUUCAGCUUCAGCACUUGAGCAUGACACUAUCUUCUGUUUCUUGCUCUUCCAAGUGACAAGAUUGCCUCCAAUAAAUGUACAAUAGCCGGUAGUGGAUCUCCUAUCCACUCUGUCUCCUGUCCAAUCAGCAUCACAAUACCCAACUAUCUCUGUAUUUUUGUUGCAUCCCAUCCACACUCCUUGUCCUGGCUCCUCUCUUAGGUAUCUUAGGAUCCUUUCAACCAUGUUCCAAUGGUGUAUCUUGGGAGCUUGCAUAUUCUGGCUUACUUGGUUAACUGCAAAGCAUACAUCAGGCCUGGUGAUGGUGAGGUAUAUCAGCUUUCCUACAAUUCUUCUAUAAUGUUUAACGUCAGUAUAGGGCUUGUCUUCAAUCUCCCCCUCACGCAGCACCUUAUACCCAUCUUCUAGUAGAGUCUUGGCUACUCUCGCUCCAAGCUUUCCUGCCUCAUUCAAAAGAUCAAGUGUGUACUUCCUUUGAGAUAAGAAAAGCUCCUCUUUAGAGCGGCAUAUUUCUAUCCCUAGAAAGUACUUUAGCUCACCCAAAUCUUUAAUAUCAAAAGUAGACUUAAGAAAGACUUUGGUUGAGAUAAUACCUUCCUUGUCACUUCCUGUGAUGAUAAUAUCAUCUACAUAAAUAAGAAUCACCACAAUUCUUUGCUUGCUUGUGAGUGUGAAGAGUGUAUGAUCAGCUUCUGACUUUACAAACCCUCUUCCAUUGAGAGUUGUGCUCAGUUUGUGGUACCAAGCCCUUGGUGACUGUUUUAACCCAUAGAUUGCUUUCUUCAACCUUAGGACAUUCCCUGGCUUGACCAUGUCUUCCAUACCCGGAGGUGGCCUCAUGUAAACCUCAUCCUCCAGCUCUCCUUGAAGAAAAGCAUUCUUGACAUCCAUCUGCCAUAAAUUUCAUUCCAAGUUCACUGCCAAUGAGAGUAGAAUCCUUAUGGUGUGAAGUUUAGCUACUGGGGCAAAUGUAUCCAGAUAGUCUUCUCCAUAGACUUGGGUGUAUCCUCUUGCAACUAGCCUUGUUUUCUUUCUUUCUGGUUUCCCAUUGGCAAGGUACUUAAUGGUGAAGAGUAGACGGCUUGUAACAGCUUUCUUUCCUUUGGGGAGCUCAGUUUCAUACCAAGUAUCAUUCUUGAUCAUGGCACCAACUUCAUCCCCAACUGACGCUUUCCACUCUUCAUGCUUCAUGGCUUCUUCAUAAGCCUUUGGUACAUACUCUUGAUCUAAGUUGCUGAUGAAGACUACAUGCUCUUCAGAUAGUCUCGCAAAAGAACAUGUUGCUUGGAUAGGAUGAGCUACUGCAUUGUUGUUGAAGUAUAUUUUGGUGUCCAUCCACUGAGAUGGUUUCUUCACCCUUGUACUCCUCCUUAAUGGUUGAACUUCUUGUUGCAUUCCAUCUUGAUCAUUAACAACUUCUUCUUGGAUAGCUCCUUCUUGGAUAGUUUCCUCGUGGAUAGCUUCGUCAUGGAUAUCUUCUUCAGGGAUAGCUUCCUCAUGGAUAACUUGCAAAUUAGGUUGAUUUCCCCCCUCAUGAUCAGGAUGGACUGCUUCUUCAAUUGAUGUAGCUUCAUCCACAACUGGAGGUAUAUGUGAAGUGCUCGGUACACCACUUGUUUGAGGCAGGCUGAUGCCAAGGUUUUCCAGAAUGAUUCUCAAGUUGUUUGCCCUAUCUGAAGAUCCUUGUGAGAGAUCCUGAAGGCUUUCCCAACUCUUUUCAUCAUAGUAUCCCUUUGAUUCCACAAACUUAACAUCCCUUGAGACCAUAACUCUUCUUGAUUCAGGUAUGUAGCACUUGUACCCCUUCUGCGCAUGAGUAUAUCCUAUGAACAUGCCUUUGACACUCUUGGCUUCAAGCUUGUUUAUUUGUUCCCCUAGUAUCAAGACAUAGCACACACACCCAAAAACACGCAAGUGAUCAAUUGGAGGUUUUAUUUUGUUUAAUACCUGAAAGGGAGAGAUAUCUUGGAGGAUUUUGGUGGGGAUCCUGUUGAUCAAAUAACAUGCUGAGACCACAGCAUCUCCCCAGAACCUCUUUGGAACAUUGGUAUGGAACAUCAUGCUCCUUGCAACCUCCAUAAGAUGGCGAUUCUUCCUUUCAGCAACUCCAUUUUGUUGUGGUGUGUAUGGGCAACUUGUUUGAUGGAUUAUGCCAUGUUUUGCUAAGUGAUGUUUGAAAGCAGUGCUUGUGUAUUCUUUGCCAUUAUCAGACCUAAAAAUUUUGAUCUUGGAAUUGAAAUGGUUAGAUACAUAGUUUUGGAAGUUAAUAAAAGCUUCUAAAACUCUAUCUUUAGUUUGAAUCAAGGUGAGCCAUGUAUAUUUUGAUUUUUCAUCUAUGAAUGUAACAAAAUAUUUAUGGUUCUCCCUAGACAUACAAGGUGCUGUCCAAACAUCAGAAUGCACAAGAUCAAAGCAAUUUUCAUAAAUAGUCUUAGAAUUAGGGAAAACAGAUCUCUGAUGUUUACCAAGAAUACAAGCCUCACAACUUCCACUCUUUAAAGAUAGAUUAGGUAACAUCAGUCCUAAGGCACGAUAAUAAGGAUGACCUAAUCUAGCAUGCCAUAAAACAUCACUAGCUAACACAGAAGCAGAAUUGAAAGCACAAGAUAAAUCUGAAAGCUUGGUGUUUUCAAGCAAGUAAAGCUCUCCCUUGCUCACACCCUUUCCCAGCAUCUUCCUGGUCUUAAUAUCCUGAAAGCACACAUCAUUAGGACUGAAAAUAACAUUACAAUUUAGAUCAUUGGUUGCUCUCUUAACAGAUAAUAAGUUGGAUGUGAAAGUAGGCAUAUAAAAGGCUUGAGACUCCUUAUCAAACAGUUUCAAGUUUCCUACUCCUUCAAUUGGAAUUCUAUCACCAUUAGCAAUCACUACACUCCCUAGAGCAGGUUUAACAUCACUAAUCAGUCUAGCAUCCCUAAUCAUAUGAUGAGAAGCUCCCGAACCAAUGAUCAAAGGUCUAGUAGUAUGUGAAGCACUGUGAAUAGAAUUUAAAGCAUUGACACUGAUGUUACCAGAGUUUGCAUUGAUAGCCUUGAUAAGGGCUUCAAUGUCUGACUUGCGGAUGAAGGCAUCAUCAGGGGAUCGCUGAGACAUGGCAUGGGAUGUGGAUCCACCAGUGUGGGUGGUUGAGAUCAUAGCUCUUCCAUCUUCUCCUAUGCGCAUGGAGCCUGGUAUUGUGGUUUCAUGAGCUCUUGCUUCAUGUGCUUUGGCCUGGUUGUAUCUGUUGGUUGAAGCAGGUCUGAGGUGAGGAUGGAGGAUCCAACAAUUGGUUUUGGAGUGGCCUAUAUUCUUGCAGUGCUCACAAGUCAUAGACUUGUCUCCUCCUCUUCUUGGUUUGAAGUGUGCUUUGUUGACUGAAGCACUCUCCAUCUUCUCAGCUUUGUUUGCCAUAGACAGUUCCCCUUUUCCACCAAAGAGACCAUCUGAGCCUAGCUCCUUCCGAAGUUGAGCACACACAUCAUCAUAGCUUGGAAGCUCUUUAGCUCUCAAUAUGUGUUUAAGUACAUCAUUGAAGCUUGGGUUGAGUGUGAGAAGCAAUCCAAAGACCUUGUCUUGCUCACGCCUCUCUUCUAGUGUACUAGGAUCAGUGGUACUUGGUCUCAGCAUCUCAAGUUCAGACCACAGCUGGCUGUACUUCCCAAGGUGUUUGGUGAAGUCCAUCUCCUCUUGCUGCAAGUUGUUGAUUGCCCUCUUAACCUCAAAAAUUCUGGUGAGGUUUGAAGUGUUUCCAUAUACCUUGUGUAAGGUAUCCCAUAGCUUCUUUGCAGUCUCACAGUGUGAGUAAGACUCCAUGAUAGGAGUAUCAAGUGAGCCUUGCAAGAUAGACAACACCAUGAGAUCCUCCUAACCCCAUUUGCCUUCAUCUACCACUACAACCUCCUUGCCAUCUUCUCUUUGGGUGAUUUGUCUUGGGGCCUCACUUGUGGUGAUGUGCUCCCAUAGACCUUUUCCUCCAAGAGCUGUCCUGGUCAAUCUCGACCAGGUAAUGUAGUUAGGACCUUUCAGGAUGACUGGAAUCCUCACUAGCUUGUGCUGCUCCAUCUUUGCUUGCUAUUGUCCAGCGGGUAAAAAAAGUAAAAAAUUCGCCAAGAAGAAAUUUGAAUUUCUGAGGCUAGACAAGAGAGAAAACAAGGGAAGCCAAGAUAUGUUCUCUAGAAAUGAAGAAAGUAAACCAAACAAGUGAAAGAGUAAGGUGAAUAGAGUAAAUUUGCGGAAGCAGUUUGGUAUUCAAGAGCUUGGAGGCUCUGAUACCAUGUUAGAAAUUGAAGAACAUAGUGAAGAACAAGAGAGAGAGAUGUUUAAUCUAGAAAGUAAAGAGAGAGAUAGAGUAAAGAAAGAGAAUCUUAUUUGCUUGAUUGAUUUGCUUAUGGGAACAUCCUAUAUAUAUAAGGGUUACAAGUAUGGCAAAUGGUAGAUGAGAUAUGAUAAACUAAUAAUCCAUUGUCUUGAAACCUUAACCAACCAUGCAUGCUUGUCCCUUGUAGUGGCAUCUCCAUUGUCUUGAGACCUUAACCAACCAUGCAUGCUUGUCCCUUGUAGUGGCAUCUCCAUUGUCUUGAGACCUUAACCAACCAUUGCAUGCUUGUCCCUUGUAGUGGUAUCUCCAUUGUCUUGAGACCUUAACCAACCAUUGCAUGCUUGUCCCUUGUAGUGGUAUCUCCAUUGUCUUGAGACCUUAACCAACCAUUGCAUGCUUGUCCCUUGUAGUGGUAUCUCCAUUGUCUUGAGACCUUAACCAACCAUCUUGUUUCUUAUUGCUUCAUCUUCACAAGAUACACGAGAAAUAUCAACAGUUACUUCUCUCUUGCUGCUUUCAUCCAUGAAGCUCACAAGCUCUUGCACCUUUUUCAUCCUCAGAGCUUUAGUGGCUUCAAUACGCUGGGGCGAGAACAGGUGUGUCACAGACAAUUUUCUCAACAGUCUGAAAAAAAAAACACAACAACAAUUUGAUUAGUGUCUUAGGUGUCGUUUGUUGCGUUUAAUUUGAAUGAUUGCAUAUUAAUAAAUUAUCAGCUUGAUUAUUAUGCUGACAAGAUUUCAGUAGAAACACAUUUGAAGAUUGUAAAAGUAAUCACGAAAAGCAUAACAAUCAUUUAAUUUUCCUAUGCCUUUCCUAACUUAAAGUUCGGUUCUAUUAUCAUUUUUUUUGUAUCGUCUACAACUUGCUAAAUUUGAAUUUGAGCUAUGAUAAAUAUUGUGUAUAUAUUUUUUUUAGCAAAUAUUGUGUAUAUAUAAAAUACUUUAUCUGUUUCAUAAUAUACUUAGUUUUAGAAGUAUUUUUUUCAAAAUAUAAAUAGUUUUCAUAUUUCAAUGCAACUUUUGUAUUUGUUGGAUAUUAUUUGAUCAAUUAAAUUAUGUAGGUUUUUUCAAUAUUAGUGUUUUUAGAUAAAACUACUUUUACAUGGAGUAUAAAUAAAAUAUUUUAUUUAGCAAAGACAAAUGCAAAUAUAUACCAGCUACAACUAAAAAUUAUACGGUCUUUAGUUUGCGUUUGUAAGUUAAAACUUAUAAAUUAUAACUACUGUAUAGUCUUUUUUAUGGAAACACCAUAAAUAUAUUAUAUUUUCUUCUUUUUUGUAGCACAUAUUAUAUUUUCUUAAAAUGUAAAUAAAAUGACCUAACUAUUAAAAGCAAACGACAAAUACAACUAUAUGCAUUUGAUCGAAAAAAUCCAAAAUAGUUAGCAGCCAAACUUGAGAAGAAAAAACCAUAGAAAAUAUUCGAUAGCACAAAAUACCUCCAACGAGCCGAAAAUGGAUGAAUCCAUGCAGCAGAAACUUUGUGGUGACUGAUCGACCGUACCGCGUUAGGAGCCUUAUGGUCAGACAAGGUUUGAUCGUGUGUUCUUAAAACCUCUCUUGCAGCUUCCGGUAAAGUUAUGAUCACUGUGUUUAGACGUCCAAAUUUUAGAUGCAUGAUUGGUCCAUAUGUUCUCGAGAGGUCCGCGAAUGAGCGGUGCGGGAGUUUACCGACUUGGUGAAUGUUACCUAUGAUCGGUAACCGUGGAGGUCCAGGAGGCAGCGUGGCAGAUCGGGGAGAGCUCUGUCGGAAUCUUGCUGUAGUAAAAAUAAAGAAACAUGAUAGGAUAAAGCAAAUGGGCAAUAACAGCUUUUCUGAGAAAAUUUCCAUCUCUGCUUUCUUAGUUGAUAGAAACUACACGAACCUAUAUAGAUACAUCAUUUUAGAGUGUUUAUGGAGUGGUAAUAUAUUAUAUAAACUUUGUUUGAAUCAACUACUGAGGUAUAGUAAAGAAAAUAACUUAAUGAAUAUUUUAUAAAACUAUGUGUAUUUCAUUACUAAACUAUAGCAUUUGACAUUUGGCUGGUUAUCUGUUGCAUGUUAGUAUUGCAAUUCUUAUUAAUUAAUAGAGUAGCAGUUAAUGAUUUGUGUCACCAUGCGUAUCACGGGCUAAUCAGAUAAUGUCCCAUCAAAUCCCGAAGAAUCCAAUGAAUUAUUGAGGCGUUAAAAACUAGUACUAAAUGCAAAUAACAUUUCCAAUAGUUGGUUUUAUUUUUAUUUUCAAAAGUUCAUUUUCUUCAAAAUAAAAUAAAAAAGCAACAUUCAUUUCAAUAGUUUGUUUCAUUUAUUUUUUGAAAAAAAAACAUUUCAAAUAUAUUUCAUCUCUAUUUUAUCAUUAAUUACUAAUUUAUCUUUAUAUUUUUUUAUAUUUACUAAUUUUACCUAACUACUUUAUUUUAACAAUAAACCAACACAAUAAUUAUUUAAUAUAAAUUAAACAGUAUCAUAUAAUAAAUAAAUAACAUAACAUGAAUAAACAAACAUAAAAUAUCAUAGUUUGUAAAAAAAUACUAUAUAUAUAAUUUUUUCUAUGAGUGAUUAAUAAAAGUGUUUAGAAGUAAAAGAUAAAAUUAUUUAUCUUUCUUUUUUUGAUUAACCUAGAGUAUCUCAGGCCCAAAGAAAUGCACAGACUAAUCUUCAUUCGCGGAUAGACUCUUUCUCCAGGCAUUCAAAUGGGUCAUGUAUUAAGUGAACAGGAUAACUGUGACUUAGUUUUGCACAACAGGUGGAUCGAACUUGAAAUGUAUUAGCAUCUCACUCCCGCCUCCUUACCACCCGGCCACAAUCACCCGGUCAUCUUUGAUUCUUUUUAAUUGAGUUAAAAGUUCGUAAACAGACCAUUCUUCCAAGAAAAAAUUUAUAUCAGUAAUUUUUCGAUCAACAAUUUUAUUUGCCGCAUGUAUGUCAGUUUUAAUUCUUUUUUUUUGGAGUAAGAUGUCGGUUUAACUUGCUUCAGCGAAAACUAUGAACAUCCAUGCGUAAUAGUUUUAUUUUUGAGCAAAUUGGGUUAAAACCAAUGAAAGAUAGGGAAAUUAAGUAUCUACCAAAAACCAAUGUUUUUAAACCCGGACCGGACCGCCGGUCCGACCGGGUUCAACCGCGAACCGGACAUCAGUCUGGGUUGGGUUGAUGCCAAAACCCAACUACAAUUGAACCGGUAAAAAAAUCAUAUUGAACCGUUAAAAACCCAGGAACCGUUGACCCAACGAACCGGUAAAACCCUGGUUCGUUUAAAAACCAAAAUUUUGUUUAAAAAAUAAUUAGUUUUUCCUUUUUAAAUAGGGUUUGUUAACAAACUGCAAUUCACAAGGUAUUGCCGUGUUUGACGUCUUAUACUUUUGAGUCGUUGGCGUCUCUGCAAGUUACAUCUCACGACUCACAAAGUCACAAGGUAUUUUCUACAUCUCAAGGUAUUGUUUUUGUGGGUGAGACUAAUAAUUAAAAACUUAUGUUUGUGUCUUUGAUGUCUCUGCAAAACUUUUGCAGUGUACUUAGGAUGGAAGAUAAUGAUCAAGAAAUUCCACUUUCAUCAAAUUCAAACACAGAACAUCAACAACCAUCACAACGUUCCACUCGUCAAAAGAUUUAGCAUGGACAUAUGUCACUCAUACUUUAGAUUCAAAGGGGAAAACCAUUCUUACAUGUAACUUUUGUGGUAAGGUUAAUCAUGGAGGUGGAAUCAAUAGAAUGAAACAACAUAUGGCGGGAGUGAAAGGAAGCACAAACGGAUGCACAAAGGUUCCUCCAGAAGUUCAACACACAAUGAGAAAAUCACUGAAAGAAAAUGAGAAAAAAGCAAAACAGAAGCGAGGAGUGAAUAUGCAACUUCACGAUGUUGAUGAUGGUGAAGGUUCUACUCAAGUUUGUGUGCCUACAAGUCAGAAAAGAAAGGUCGGUACGGAUGUAAACUCUUACUUUAAAAGGGGUCUAGAAGAUCAGACACAGCCAACUAUAAAAUCAUGCUUGCAAAGUAAGGAAAAGGUUCAUGAUGCUGAUAGCAUUAUUUUUCUAUGAUGUAUGUAUGCCUAUGAAUGCAGUUAAUUCUAGGUUCUAUCAGCCUAUGAUCAGCAAAAUUGCAAGCAUGGGUCAUGGUUAUGUAGGGCCUUCUUAUCAUGCUUUAAAGGUUGGUUUACUACGUGAUGCAAAGCUGCAAGUUUCUUUGAUUAUCGACUCUUUAAGGAGUACAUGGGCUGAUAGUGGUUGUACUUUGAUGGGAGAUGGAUGGAAAGAUACUAGGCAAAGGCCAUUGAUUAAUUUUUUGGUCUACUGUCCUAAGGGGAUAACUUUCAUCAAGUCUGUUGAUGCUUCAGGAAUAUGUACAAAUGCAGAGAAUUUGUGCAACCUAUUUGCGGAGAUUGUGGAGAUGAUUGGACCACAAAAUGUGGUCCAUAUGGUGACAGAUAGCGCACCUAACUACAAUGCUGCUGGUGGUAGGCUUGUAGAAAGAUAUCCUACCAUAUACUGGUCACCGUGUGCUGCUCACUGCAUUAACUUGAUAUUAGAAGAUGUGGGAAAGCUGCCUCAUGUGCAUAAUUUAACCAGCAAUGCAUCAAAGAUCAUUGUAUUUGUGUAUAACCAUAAGCAUAUUUUGAACUAGUUGAGAAACAGGCCGGAUUGGAGAGAGAUAAUUCGCCCUGGGGAAACUCGGUUUGCUACAAGUUUCAUAGCUUUACAAAGUUUACAAGCCCAUAAAGAUAUUUUGCAGAGUAUGGUUGUUGAUGAGGAGUUCAGAAAAAUCUCAAGAUCUGAGAAAGCAAAACUUGUGAAACAGCUUAUCUUUAAUGAAGACUUUUGGAAGGAGUGCUUUAUGAUUGUGCAGAUUAUGACUCCGUUGAUCCGUUUGUUGCGUAUUUGUGAUGCUGAUGAGAAACCAUCGUUGCCUUAUGUAUAUGAAGGGAUGUAUAGGGCACGGCUAGGCAUCAAAAAUAUAUUCAAGAAAGAAAAGCCUCUUUAUAGGUCUUAUACGAGGAUCAUUGACAAUAGGUGGGAUAGGAUGUUGCGUAGUGAUAUCUAUGCUGCAGCUUAUUUUUUGAAUCCUGCCUUCUUGUAUGACCAAAAGAACUUCUGCGAUAAAGCCGAGAUUACAAGAGGAGUGCUAAAUCUGAUUGAGAAGCAGAAGGGCAGUCUAAGUGAAACAAAGUUGGUAUCAACCCUUCGUUGCUAUAGAGAUCGAGAACUUAAUUUAUCUCGAGAAAUGGCACUUACUUGUAGCAAAACGACUCGACCCGGUAAGUAAUGUCGUUAUAUUUAUGCCAAUAUAACAUGUUUUCUUCUGGUCAGUUACUAAUAUAUAUUUUUAUUAUAUUUACAGAUGAAUGGUGGAAACUAUUUGGUUGUGAUAUUCCUGAUUUGCAAAAGCUUGCAAUCCGAAUCCUUAGUCAAACAGCUUCUUCAUCGGGAUGUGAGCGAAACUGGAGUGUCUUUGAACGUAUUCAUACCAAAAAAAGAAACAAGCUAGAGCAUCAAAGACUCAAUGAUCUUGUAUAUGUUCACUACAACUUGCGUUUACAAAACAGGUUAGUUAGUUGUGAAGUUUAUAACAAAUAUUUGUGUGUCAUUAUUCAUUUGGUAAUACGCUAUUGUUUCUUUACGUAGGUAUGGGACAAGAAGAUCAUAUGAUCCCGUUGAUUAUGAGUCAAUUGAUAAAACUGAGUUUUGGAUUGUGGAAGAAGAAGGAGAAGGAGAACUUGAUUUUUCUGAAUUAGAAGAUAAACUUCUUGAAGAAUAUCCUAAAGAUGGCGAAGAACUCAAUCAUGGUAUGAUUUUGAAUUUUAUUUCAAAAUAUAGUCUUUUUAACUAAUGUGUAUAUUUUUUAAAGGUGAUGCAGAUUAGAGUGAUAAAGACUUGGAGAGCAAAAUUUAAAUGUUUUUUUUCUUAUAAAUUUUAGAUUUGGAUUAUUAAAUUGUUUUAUUACUUUUAUUACAUUUAAGUUUGUUAUUUUUGAAGAUUUUCUUAACAUUAAGGUUAUUGAAACAUUUUAUUUGAGAUGAUUUAUCUUUGUAACAAUAUACAUAGAAAACAUCAUUAGAUUCAGCUUAAUCUAAACGAACCGGAUCGAACCCGGUCGAACCAUAAUGACCCCUGGCCCAAAAUAUUUCUGGUUCGCUCGCCGGUCCGGUUUUAAAAACAUUGCCAAAAACAGUAAAACAUAAAGUUGUCACUGGAAGUUAAUGACGAUAGUGUCCUUAGUAAUCGUCCAAUCGAUUUUUCUGUGGUAGGAUACCUACAAUAACUAGUUGGCAGGCACAAUUUCUUUAGAUUUGUAAAAAAUUUGGGAAUAAAUUAUAAAAAAAUAAUUAAAAAAAUUGUAAAGAUACGUACGUGUUAACUUAUAUUUGGGGUUUUCUCUCAUUAUUUUGUCUCCAUCGAGUGAAAAGGAAUUAAACAUGUUUUCUUUCUCUCAACUCUCUAUGCAUUUUUCAGAAAGUAAAACCAUUAUUUUUUAAUUUUUUGAUCUCCGAUCAGUUUGUAAAAUAUAUUUUGUUCUUCAUCUGAAUCAUUUUGUUUCAUAUGGGUGAUAAAAUUUCAUUUGUUCGGAGUAGAUCUCAUUCCAUAGAUUGUUGUGUAUCUCUUUUUUUUUACUCUUUUCUUUCUACAGAUUUAAUUAAAGAAAAUGUGGUUCUGAAUUCUGUAAGUCUCACCGACAGCUCAACGCAACAUGCAUGGAGAAGGAAGAUCUCCGCCGUUGCUACUCAGAUUUGAGCGGGCUUUGUUGUUAAGUCAUGGUGAAGAUUCUCUAUGGGUGAUGGAAAAAGCACUUAUACCAAUCACCAAUAAAUUCUCAAAACAAAAUGAAGCAUUCUAUCUUUUGAACUUCAUUGUCUUUCAUUUCUCUACAUCCUGGAGAUUCUUCGGGUUACUCGACGAUCAAGACAACGCGUCUAGUCAACACGUCUCAUUCCACCUACAGGACCCGAGGGUUUCGAUUAAAGUUAGAGAUUAGGUCUCAUAACCCUCACAAAUAGGGAUAUGAGAAUAUGAUAAUUAGCAAGCUAACAAAUUUAUUAAUGAUUAAAUAACAAAUUAUACAAGCAAUUUUUAGUUUAGCCAGGUAACUGUUUUUGGGAAUCAGAAGUGGUGAAGAAACUGUAUUUUGAUGUCUUCGAACAUAUAUGUGAGUACAAAAUAUGGCAUUAUAAGUAAAAAUAUAGUUUAGCCGGCUAACAAAUAUAUGUUGCACAUCUAUUAGAUUGAUUAACCAGAUACUAAAACUUUGUUGAUGUAAACAUUAUAAAAAUAAUUAGUUACGAAAUUAUGUUUCCGGCUAACUCAACUAUAGGCUAACUCAACUAUAUUUCCUAUCUAAUAUGUUGUCAAACUAGAUGAACACUAGUAGAAAACUUCGAAAUACACACGUUUUGGACACAGUAGUAUCGUGACUUAUUUUGUGUUAGUCACGACAAAGUCACAUUUAGUCACGAAAUAGGACAACGUGACAAUCGGUGUCUUUUUCAUGGCAAAAUAGACACGAAUCGGUCACAUAUGUUUUCGUGACUAAACGUAGUCACGAUUUGUCACAAACUAUUUGUGACUAAAAUGUCACGUUUUUGAAACCGUGUAUAAACCGUGGCUUUAAGAGUCACGAAAUGACACUAGAUAAACCGUGACUAAGACAAUAUCUAAUCAAAUAAUGGUAAACUUUAGUCUCAUUCUAUUUCGUGAUUAAAGUGUGACUUUUCCAACAAAAAAAUGACAUAGACUUUACAUCAAAGUCAGAAAACGGGACUGUUUUGGCUGGGAAUAUAUUCGAAUUUGGUUGGUCACAGUAGCCAUCGUGACAAAAACAUGUCAUAUCUAGUCACGGUUUCAUUAUUGUGACAAUUUCCGUGACUAAAACAACACAAAACAAACACUUUCGUGGAAAUGAAGAACACAAUAUCAAACAAAGAAAACCUCUCCUCUCAAUAUUUUUUUGUGUUCUUGACACAUUAGUGAACGUCUUUUCUCAACUCUUUCUUGUGCAUUCCAUAAUUUCAAUGUCUCAUUUCUUUCAAUCAAGAGAGUGGAUGGAUCGACAUUUGGAUCCAAUCCAAAAUUGUGUUUCUGAAGAAUUUAUGGAGGGAAUUGAAGUGUUUCUUGCUUUUGCUUGUAAUCAAGAGUCUUAUCAAGGAACAAGCACUAUGUUGUGUCCGUGUGCACGAUGCAAGAACCGGAAACAACGUGAUGCAAAGACGGUUUCUAAACAUCUUUUCCGAGUAGGAUUUACGGGGAAUUACUAUGUUUGGUCAAGUCAUGGAGAAAGCUGUUACAAUGUUGGACAAUCUUCGGGGACAAGUCAUUUUUAUGGAGAAGAAGCACCAGAAGAAGCAGAAGGUACAAACUAUCAAAUUCCAAACGAAAUGUACGUUAAUAACCCAUUUUCCAAUAUAAAUAUAAAUUUGGAAGAAGAGGUUGAAGUAACCUCUACAUUGGAGUAUGUGGUGGAAGCGGGUAAUGAAGAAACAUAUCACGAUAACGUUUUUAGAGCCUAUGAAGAUGCAAGCCAACCACUUUAUGACGGAUGUUCUGAAGGAAUUUCUCAACUAUACUUGGCUUCACGCAAAAACUGAUUACAAUUUGCCAGAAGCUUGUAUCGACGAGAUAUCACAAACUUUUAAAGAUGUUCUACCGAAGCCGAAUAAAGCGCCAUCAUCUUAUUAUGAAACGAAGAAGCUGGCCCGAUCACUUGGCCUCCCUGUUGUAAAGAUUGAUAUUUGUGAGGAUAGCUGCAUGUUGUUUUGGAAAGAAGAUAAAUAGCUUUUGGCAUGUCGGUUUUGUGGUAAAUACAUAUACCAUCCAAACAGAGGAAGAGGAAAAAACCGUCCUAAACAGAGGAUGUUUUAUAUGCCGAUUACGAAACGGCUGAAACGUCUAUGCCAAGUAGAGAAAACUGCAUCACAUAUGCGAUGGCACGCAGAGCAUAAUUCUCCUGAAGGAGAAAUGCAUCACCCAUCAGAUGGAGCGGCAUGGAAGCAUUUUAAUGGGGUAUAUCCUCAAUUCGCUGCUGAAAGUCGUAACAUUUAUUUAGGCUUAUCGACAGAUGGAUUUAAUCCUAUCGGUAUGAAUGGUGAAGCACAUUCGAUUUGGCCCGUUAUCGUAACUCCAUAUAACUUACCACCUGGUAUGUGUAUGAAAAGGGAAUAUUUAUAUCUGUCGAUACUAGUUCCCGGGCCAAAACAUCCGAAAAAAGUCUAGAUAUUUAUCUUCAGCCGCUGAUUGAAGAAUUACAAAGUUUAUGGAGUGAGGGGGUGGAAGCUUAUGAUAUCUCAAAGAAAAAAAGAUUCACAAUGCGAGCUGCACUGAUGUGGACAAUAAGCGACUUUCCAGCAUAUGCAAUGCUUUCUGGUUGGAUGACGCAUGGUAGAUUAGCGUGUCCAUAUUGUUUAGAUGAUACAAAGGAUUUUUGGUUACAAAAUGGAAGGAAACAUAGUUGGUUUGAUUGUCACAAAAUGUUUUUGCCUCAGAAUCAUCCUUACCGGUGAAAUGUUAAACGCGUUUCGGCGGGGACAAACAGUAACAGAUGAUCCACCCCCGUGGCUGAUUGGAGAAGAAAUUCUUCAUGAAAGAAUAAACAACAUUAAGGGGUUGUCCAAAACAGUUGAUUGUGGAGGAAAAGGCCACGAGAAGGCUGCACAGACGAUAUCUGGCUAUGGAAAGGAUCAUAACUGGGUGAAGAAGAGUAUUUUUUGGGAUUUGCCAUAUUGGGAGAACCUUCUUCUUCGACACAACAUUGACUUCAUGCAUGUGGAGAAAAACUUUUUUGAUAAUCUCACCAACACUGUGUUGAAUGUUCCUGGAAAGAGAUAACAUUAAAUCGAGGAUGGAUCUCCCUAAUAUAUGUAGAAGACAAUCUCUACAUUUAAACGAAGAUGGAACUAUGCCUGUGCCGAUAUUUAGGUUGUCAAAUGAAGAAAAAAGGCAAUUUCUCUCAUGGCUGAAGAAUGAUAUAAAAUUUCCAGAUGGAUACGCUUCAAAAUUUAGUCGGUGCAUUGAUGAAACAAAUAUGAAGCUAUCAGGGUUGAAAAGUCAUGAUUGUCACGUUAUUAUGCAACGUCUUUAUCCAUUUGCAUUUCGUGAACUCCUUCCGAAACAUGUUCAUACCGCAAAUUCAGGUUAUUACUUAAUUAUAAGAUUUGUUGAACUAUAUUUUUAUUAUUUAAUGUUUCUUACUUACUAAUAAUUGUAUUUAAAUUUGCAGAGAUUGCACUUUUCUUUCGUGAUAUCUCAGCAAAGAUAUUGCGCACCGAAGAUGUUGUCCUUUUGAAAGAAAAUAUAGGGGUGAGAAGCUUUGUAAUUUGAAGAAGAUAUUUCCUCCAUCGUUCUUUAAUGUCAUGGAACAUCUUCCUGUGCAUCUACCAGAUGAAGCUGCUUUAGGUGGUCCUGUCCAAUAUAGAUGGAUGUAUGUCUUUGAAAGGUACAUGUAUCAUCUGAAAAAAAUGGUAAAAAACAAGGCAAAUAUUGCAGGGUCCAUUGUUGCACAAUGUUUGAAUGAGGAGAUAUCAACUGCAUCUGCAACUUACUUUGGGAAAGUUCGAUUUACUUAUACUUAUGAAGAUGUACCAAAUUUGUUUUAUCAUGAAGGUCGGGUCAGUGGAAAAGCCACCACGAGAUGGUUAACAGAUGUUGACUUCACCGUCUUGCAAACAUUUAUGUUGCUCAAUUGCGAUGUGUUUGAACCUUAUGAAAGGUAAUAUUUUGAAUUUAGAUUUAUAUCAUCCUAUUAUAUAAUGAGGGUCUGAGUCACGUUUUUUGCACAUGAUGUUUGAUGAGUUCGUGAUGGAAGCAAACCCAAAUAUUACUAGUAAUGAUCUACAGAGAGCGAAAGAUCAACAUUUUGCAAAAUGGGUGAAAGACUUCGUAAGUUUUGCUUAAUUAACUUGAGACUUUUGUAAUUAUUAAAUUUUGUAAAAUAAAAAAAUAACAAAAUUUUAUAAUUCAUUAUGCCAACAUUACAGAUUACAAAUGCCAGUGAAACAUAUAAGUUCCCUUUAUGGAUGUUGGAUUUCAUUCAAGGACCGUAUCAUAAUUACACAUCGUGGCCGAUAUAUUUCUCGCGAGGAUAUUGCUUCCACACACAUAGCCAUGGCCAAGAUAAAAAUACCCAAUAUUAUGGUGUGUAUGUCCGUGGAACCACCGAGACCGAGUAUUAUGGGCUGAUAGAAGAAAUCAUGAUGAUCGAGUACGGUGGUGCUGUUGGCUUGAAAGCCAUGAUUUUCAAAUGUAAGUGGUUUGAUACAGUAGUGGGUCGUGGAAUGCGUAAGUAUAAGUCGGGGAUCGUUGAUGUGUCCCCCCGUGGCCAAUAUGAGAAAUAUGAUCAUUUUAUAGUUUAGUCGGCUAACAAAUAUAUGUUGCACAUCUAUUAGAUUGAUUAACCAGAUACUAAAACUUUGUUGAUGUAAACAUUAUAAAAAUAAUUAGUUACGAAAUUAUGUUUCCGACUAACUCAACUAUAUUUCCUAUCUAAUAUGUUGUCAAACUAGGUGAAUUAAUUUUUUUAUUCAAAUUGAAAAAAUAAUCAAAUGAUGUAUCAUUUCGUCCUAACCACCAUUUUAUCCAUAAUUCGUUUCUAUAAUUUUAUUAACCAACCAACAAUGUUGUGUAUCAUGGCUAAUAUAUUACGUAAAUGUCUACUAUAUUAGUUUAUUGCGAUGCACUAACAUAUUUAAUAUAUUAUGUGAACGUCUACUAUGCACCAUAAUGAAGGUGAUAGUGAUCAAUCUAAAUGUUUGUUAUGUACUAAGAUAUCCGGCUAAUGGAAUUGAGUUACCUAUACUAAAUAUUAUACAUAUCUAAUGUACAAGAUUAAUUGAUAUAAUAUUAUUUACACGGCUAAAUAUAUGUUCUCAAAGUCCAGGACAAGAGAUCAAACUCUAACACCUUCUCAGCCAAAUCAUCAUCAUCAUUACCAAAAGUUUCUUUCAUCUUCUUCUUUCUGAGAUAUAAAAGAUUCAAAGUCGUGUUCCAUGGAUCCAAGUUGCAUGGUAAAAAGACUGAGAUCCACUAACUUCUCAGAGACAAAAGCAAAAUUCAAUUCAACUUUUAUCAGAACUUGGUCUCACUUGAUAGUUGACUGUUCUAUGAUGUUUUGUUUCUAUUUCUAUCUGUCAAAUCCAAAAGAGAAUUGCAACAGAGAAAAAAAAUUCAUCAAUCUUUUGAGUUCCACAUGUUUUACGCUAUGGUGAAAUCAUAACUGGGUCUUUUACAAUAGCGAAAAAUCUCUUCAGGAUUGGACAUGUUGGUGAUUGCCCAUCGUUGUUCUCCAUUUACAAGUUUCCCAAACAACAAAUUCUAGAAAUUUUCAAGAACAAAUUGUUUCUAGGCGAGAAAGAAGAAUAUUCUUGCAGAAGAAAUAUGAAAGAGAAAGAAAGCUAUUGAUUUUUAAUUUUGAAAAAGUUUGUAAUAAUUCAGAGAGAUACGAGAAAGAACUCAUGAUGAUUUGACAUGGGAAAGAGAUAUUAGUAUAGAAGAUAAGAUCUUAGCAAAUCUUAGUAUUAGAUUUUGCCUAUAUACAAUUGUAGAGUACGUUAUAAUAUAUAUGUAGGGGUAGCAAUGUCACAGAUAAAUAUACACAGUGGUCUGAAUAGUGAUAAUUUGUAAAGAGUUAAACAGCCAAAAGUUAUUUGGUAGGAAUGCCUAGUUUCUCUUUAUUUUUUGCUUGUUUGAUUACAGUGCGGUCCCGGUAAAUGCAUAAUGACUAAGAUUUUUUUUUUUGAUCAAAAUGACUAAGAGAAACAUUAUUGGUAGGACCAAAUUGUGUGUCCUUAGGUUAUUUUUUUAUUUUUUUAUGUUAAGAGACAAAGGUAAGGACAGUUGCCAAAAAUGUAGAUUAUGGUAGGACUUUUUGUUGUCUCUUAAUAAAUUAAUUGUUUAUUUUAAUAGGAAAUGAGAUAUAUAAAAGAUAAGUUUAAAAUAAAACAUAUAACAUUAAAAUUGAAAACAUAAGAAAAUUACAAAGUUGCCAAAAAAAAUUACAAAGAUCAUAAAUAAAAGCAAACAAACAUUUUUGUCAAUUCAUAAAAACUUAAAAAUUAUAUGUUAUUUGGAAGAUGUCCAAAUUUAGCCCAUAUAUUUUCAAUCAAAUCAUUUUUUAAUUGUUGAUGGGCUUUUGCAUUCCGAAGUCUCGUUCGACGAUCAUUUGUGGUGUCGAGAUUGUCGUGAUUUGUAGGCAUCCCGAUGGAAAAUGUAUGCUCCACAUCUUCUUCUUGUUGAAAUUCAAAAACGUUAUACUGAGUGAAUGACUCUCGUUCAUCUUUGACAAUCAUAUUAUGGAGUAUGAUACAUGCUCUCAUAAUAUUUGUUAUUUUGUCUUUAUCUCAUAACUUAGAUGGAUUUUUGACAACGGCAAAUCUAGCUUGCAGGACUCCAAAGAUACGUUCAACAUCUUUUUCGCACAGGUUCUUGGGUUUUAGCAAAUAAUGAAUUUUUCUCACCUUGGGGUAGUCGGAUAGAUUGAAUAAAAGUCACCCAUUUCGGAUAAAUACCAUAUGUGAGAUAAUAAGCCAAAUGAUACUCAAUUCCGUUGACACAGAAGUUUACUUGUGGCGCUAUUCCGUUAAUAAUGUCAUCGAAAACAGGUGAUCUAUCAAGAAUAUUAAGACCGUUCAUAGUACCUGGAGCUCCAAAAAAAGUGUGUCAUAUCCAGAGGUCAUAUGAAGCUACCGCCUCCAACACAAUUGUUGGUUUUUCGGUUCCUCGUGAAUACAUUCUUUUCCAAGCGGUGGGGCAAUUCUUCCACUCCCAGUGCAUACAAUCGAUGCUUCCAACCAUCCUCGGAAAUCCACGUUGUUACCCAAUAUGGAGUAGUCUUUCCAGAUCCUCCAGUGAGGGACGUCUUAGAUAUUCAUCGCCAAACAAGCUGAUUAUUCCGGCGGUAAAAUUGUGCAAACGUUUUCGAGCAGUUGUUUCAGCAAGUCGGACAUAUUCGUCAACUGUAUCAGCCCCACCACCAUAUGCCAAUUGACGAAUUGCUGCAAUACAUAUUUGGAAGGGUGAUAAACUAGACCGUCCGGCUGCAUCUUGUGUUGGUUGAAAAUACGGUACUUCUGUGGAGAGACGAUGCACAAUACGCAUGAACAAUGAUUUGUUCAUUCGAAACCGUCGCCGGAAUAAAUUGUGAGUAUAUGUUGGAGUGUCGCUAAAAUAAUCAUUCCAAAGCGUCUCGUGGCCUUCUUCCCGGUUUAUGUCGAUAAAAAUACAUUUUUCGCUCUUUUGGUUCUGGAAAAAGAUCAGGGUUUUCAAAAAAAUCAUCAAACAUGUUAUUAAAAUCAUCAUCAUCAUCUUUGUGGUAAUGAUAAUGGGAAGAAGAAGCCAUUUAAAAUUUUAAAAAGAGAGAAAAUGUUUUUAAAGUGAGCAUACGAGAGAUGAUUUGAAUAUAUGUUAUGAGAGAAGAUGAUGAUGUAUUUAUAGAAACUAAAAAAUGUAUCUUGUGAUAUUUGAAAUAUACAUCUUGUGAUGACAUCUUGUUUUCUUGUGGAAGAAACAAACAACCCAUGUGACUCUAGAGUACAUCUUGUGAUACUAUAGUACAAAGAUGAGAGAAUGAGUUCAAAGAGUACAAAUUACACAUUAAACAAAGACAUAGAGAGUACAAAUUACACAUUAAACAAAGCCGAGAAAGAGUUCAAAUUCAUUACAAAUUACACAUAAAACUAAGACCAUAACUCAUUACACAUGAAACUAAUACCAAAACCAUAACACGAACAAAGUAUUCAAAGCCAUUGGUAAACCUGGAUUUCUUCUUAGCUAACUCACACACUAUCUUCUCUAGCCUAACCAGUUUCUGCUCAGUCUCAUAGUCACUCAACAAGGUUAGAGUUUCAACCUUUUCAGCCAAUUGAAGUGUGUGUCUAUCCCUGGCUCUCAUCUCCUCCAUAACCGCCACAUCCCACCAUUUCCAUACAUGGCACUCUCCAUCAUCAACAUUAUCACAAAUGUAGUAUCUUCUUACCAGAUCAUUUCUAGUGUAAGAUGUGGCUAGAACAGGUUGACUACCACAGUAGCAUGUCUGCGGAAAUCCAAACUCAACCUCGGGUUGAGGAGGGUACUGAGCCGACGCACCAUAAUUGUAGCUUAUCUCAGCUCGGUCUCGACGUAUAAGAUCUUCUGUCUCGUUGUAGCUACUGUCAGCUGUCUCCCCACCAUACUCCUCUGAUUCAGAAGGCUGGCUGUAGCUACAGUCAUGCCCCAUGUUUAGCUAAACCUGAAAAAAAAAAAAGACAACGUAAAGAUAAUACAAAGAAAGGCUCUAAUGCUCAGAAAAAAUAGACAAAACCACAGAAAGAGUUCAAAGCCAUUAUAAGAGUUCAAAGCCAUUUAUAAAGUAGAUAGCAGCAUUAACACAAGUGAUUCUUUAAUAAAGAUAGACAUUUAAAAGCAAACAUAAAGUACAUUCAUCACGUUAAAGAUAAUACAAAGAAAGGUUCUAAUGCUCAAAGCCGGCAGCGAGUACGUAAAACAACAUUUAAAAGACAUAGUUAUAAAGUAGAAACAUAGAAAGACGACUCUAAUGCUCAGAAAUACUCAGUGAGUAGCUUAUUCUUGACAAUUUCUUCAGCCUCACUCAGUGGUUCUUUUUUGGCUAGGAGAGUGUCUAGUAUGGCCAGCUUUGACAGUUUAUCCUUCAUCAUGAGAUCCUCCUUCUUCAUUUCCCAAAUGUUCGUAUACUCAGCAACAGACUUCCCUUGACCAUUAUUCAUUUUAGCUUUAGCAGCUUUUACACCUUCAGGCCGGAUGUCUUGAUCACCAACAGUGGUGCUUGAAGUUUGGGAACCUGUCUCACCAGUUUUUCUCUUUGAACUGCCAGUGGGUUUAGGAGUGUUAAGGUUAAGCCAUUUCUGUUCAUACCUCAACACACACCACACAUGCUCAAGAUUAAACUUCGUGUUGUGAUCAGAGUAGAAGAUGGCAUGAGCCACCUUGAGAACAUCAUUUUCAUUCUGACCAGAACUAAUUUGUCUUUUUGCUGCCGCAUAUGCACCACAGAACUUGUUCACUAGAUCAUUGAUUUUGUGCCACCUCUGCUUACAAUGGAGAUGCUCUCUUGUUUCACCGCUCUCUAUAGCAUGAGGACUUGCUGCGACAUAUUCGCCUACUCGUUUCCAAAAAGUCCCUGACUUUUGUUCAUUCCUAACGACCGCAUCCUUAGAUGUGUUCAGCCACCCACUGAUUAGAACCUCAUCAUCGGCUGGGGUCCAUUUCCUUCUCUCCUUACGGUCCACUGGUGUGUCUUCAUGUAGAGUUCCAGCGUCGGUUUGUUGUGAACUGAAUGGAGGAAAACUUUCAUAAAGAAAGUUUUGACUGUUAAGAAGGCCCAUAUAACUAGAUGACUGGCUAUAUGGAUCCAUAGCUAUUAGAACAGGGAGGGAAUUAUAGAAGAGAAACCGGAGAGGAGGGGAUUUCGCAAACAAGAAAGAAAGAAGAUGGUGGAGAUAUAUGAUACAAUGAAGGAUGGUUGGGGUUUAAUAGGUGAAACUCUAAGAAGUAAUAAGUUACAACCAUAAACUUCUAAGAAGUAAUGACCGAACCAUAAACUACCAAAGUAAUGACCGAACCAUAAACUCUGAGAAGUAAUGACCGAACCAUAAACUACCAAAGUAAUUACCAAACCAUAAACUCUGAGAAGUAAUGACCGAACCAUAAACUAGAAGUUAUUACACAUUACACAACCACAAAGCUAACAAGUAAUUAAAUAUCAGUUUACUUUUCGCAAGUAACAAGCUCUGUGUACUAAUUCUAUCAGAAGAAAUCAUGAAUCCCUAAAGCUACCGUAAGCAUACACGCAUGAACAAUUCUGUUUUUGUAAUCAAGCUCUUUUUACUAAUGAAUCUACGCAUUGGCUUUAUCACUGUAAUCCCUAAAGCUACCCUAAGUAUAGCAUUACUAAUGAAUCUACAGAUUUACUCAAAAGAAUUCACAAGUCAGAAAUUUAGCAUUAAAUCCAAGCAUAUAAUCAGAAACAAAUUAGGAACCAUCACAAACACGAAGUAUCACAAACACGAAGCAUUGUCACAAAAAAAAACAAAUCAAACCCAGAGACGAAUAUAGAUCAACUCAUUAAAUCCUCUAUAUCGCAAAACGGAAGACAGAGAAGAAACACAUACCUGGUUUCGAUUGGAUUGGCGGACAAGCUUUGGAUUAAAGGAGAGAUCGUCGUUGAUUGAGCUAUAGAGCGGUGUGGCUGAAAUCGCCGUCGAGAGAGAGAGAAUAGGGAGACACCGAGAAUGAUUUCCAGACCGAAACUCGUCUUUCCCCUACAAACACGAAGCAUGCAAUGAAAUCGUCACAACAAAAACCAAUCAAACCCACAUAUAGAUCGACUUUUAAAUCGCAAAACAGAGGACAAACAAGGAGCACAUACCUCGUCUAGAUUCGAUACGGCGGAGAAGCUUUGGAUUACACGAGUGAUCGGUGUCGAUUGAGAGAUCGAUUGAGCGAACACGAAGCGGUGUCGUCGAAAUCGCCGUCGAAAGAAAGAGAAUAGGGAGACGAGACCAACAUUAUUUCGAGACCGAACCUCGUGUUUCCACUACCCCUUCGGUUUUCCUAUCACACGAUGACACGUGCUCCUUAAGGACGUCGUCGAAAACUUCUUAUUUAACCCACGUCUCUCUUCUCUUUCCUUAUUUUUCAUUUAUUUUUCGGCUCCUUUUCAAUAAGGACGACGUUAGCAUAAGCCGAUAAUGUUGGUCUAAGAAUUUUAUAUUAGUCAUCGGGCUUCUUAACCCAACAACACAAAAGUCAAACUACAUCUGAAAUUAUUAUUUAGUUACGGUGAUAAAUGUUUAGUGUAGUAACCAGGCCUGUUCCUAAGAAAAAUCAGGCUGGAGACAAUUAAGCCUAUAAAUUCACAAUUAAACACCCAAACAAAUGUUGUCAAAAAAGAAAAAAAAAACACCCAAAAAAUAAUUAUAGUACAGUGGAGUUUGAAACUUCCAACUUCCUUGGGUGUAUUUCAACCUUUAACCAACUAUGCUAUUAGAUAUAGAUUAGAAAGUGUGGUUGAAAUAUGUAAUAUUAGAUAUUUAAAAAUGGGCCAGAAGCACACGUUUCUAUAGCUUCUGCCCAAGACCAGUACUAGUAGUACCAUAAUGUCCUGAUAUAUCGAAUUCGCAUUUUGUAGGUUGCCAGAGGCUAGCAUGUAAAGAACAAUACGAUUCCAGGAAUGAAUCUUUUGAUGACAAAUAAAAGAAUAUCCUGAUAAUAAAACCGUGUUUGAUUCUUGAAGUUUUCUUAUUCAGUUUAAUCAAAUGAUGUAAAAAGAAAAAUGGUUAUGGCUAUUCGGGCUUUGUUUCCUGUUUAUUCGACCUUGUACAUAUGUAUUAAUUUGGUUAAUAUAAGAGCGCUCUCUCAUUCAUAGUACGAUGGGGUUGUCAGAAAAUAAUAAGAUGUUAAUUUAUGUUAAAGUGAUGGUUGAAGUUCUUUUUUUCACGAAGAUUAACUUUUACCAAUGAUCAUAAUAAUCAGAAGUCACGGCAUCAUGUAUUACAUUUGGGAUAUAACCAUGAAAAAAAAGGAAUCCGCAUUUGAAAUUGCUUGUUUUGCAAGUAUAUCAACACAGGCAUUUGAUUCUCUGUUCGUCCAGAUAUGUUGGAUAUCUUGGUUGAAGUUCUUAAAAGUUUAGAUAUCCAUCCAAUAAACCUCAUAUUUUUGGAUGGAGUUGUUCUAAUAAGUAAGAUCUUGCAGUACACAAAUUGUUCUUUCAUUUAUAACAUUUUUCUUUUGACAUCUCUUUAGCUAGCAUGUAUAAAAGUGCAUUGAUUUGAAAUUAAGAAAGCCUAGCUACACCUAAUGUUAGCUGGAUGUCAUUUUUAACAUUUAUGAUUUAAUAUCUCACUAAUUAUAUUAGGCUGAGUGAUCCAAUAGAGAUUGACAGAAGUCCCUCUACAUGUCAAAAUCAUAUUCAUAACAUUUUUUUCCAAGAAAGAACCAGGUCCAGAACUUACAAAACAGAGAAUCAAAAUAAAUAAAAAAGAGUAUUUUACUUGCAAGAAAUAAUACAGGAUACAAUUUCUUUCGCCGAAAAAUGAAUGUUGUGUAAUAAAUAUUUCGAGAAAAAAAAUACACUGUAUUUAGAAACACAAAUUAAACAACAUGAACAAAACUGAAAGACUCUAAGAUUCUGAACCUUCUCCACCAAGUUAUUGUAAAACCACCAAGACACUUGUAUUGAACUUGAAUUAAAUCUUUUAUAUGAAUAAGAAAAGACUGCAACUUCCAACCUCCCUAAGCAGCCAAGAAUCUUGAUUCCACUUUGCAAAACCAAAAAAAAAAAAUCUCAACUUUGUCAGCAACCCAUCACUGCACAAUUGUAAACAAAAUUCGAUGAAUGUUUCCUAUCAAGCAAUGUCCACACAGGAGGGCUUCUAUCGUUACUUGGAACCCAAGAGUUCAGCUCAAUGAACCCUCCACCUGAACUCCUAGGUCCACCAAUCACUAUCAACCUCUCGCCGCAAGCUCUAAACGCUAAACCCCAACCGUUAACCGAACCAGCUCUCUCAGGCAACCUCCCUAACGUAAACCAUCUCUUACUCUCUUUAUCAUACUUCCUCACUUCCAUACCAGCAUGAUCCGCCGCGUACAGCUGGUUGUUCACAACAGCAACAAGCGGCGGCGCUUCUGCUGACGCUGGAGUCUCCCUGCUCCUCGGAGGCGACAUCUCCGGAAUCUCAGUCCAUUUCUUGGUCGCUAAAUCGUACUCCUCACCGCCGCCGACCCCUCCAAUCACAUAGAACUUCCCAUCCAUGAAGACACCGGAACACAUCUUCCUCGGCUUGUUCAUGUUGGGAAGCGUAGUCCACGACUGAAGCUCGGAGUUAUACAUCUCCGCAACGUCACUGAUCUUUCCUAAAGAGUCACACCCACCAGCGAAGAUAGCGAUCUCUCCUAAACUCGCCGAGCCAAACAAACACCUCGGAGAGUUCAUCCUCUCACCGGGAGACCAAGAGUUAGUCAAGAGACUGUAUCUAUACACAACGUGGGAAGAGUCGUCAUCUUUGCCUAAGACGAGCAAAUCUGUUCCGACAGCGAGAGACUCUUUGUCCGCACACAUGAAAGUGACACCCGAAGGCAUCGUCGGCAGGUUCAUCCAACGUCUUUCGACGGGGUCGAAAGCGACCCACUCCAAGAGCUGGCAGGAGAAGUAAACCCAGUGCUCGACUAUCAUGUUCUGUCUCCUGAGUCGGUAUAUGUCUCCGGAGUUAACCAGAGACCGGAAACUCCGGUUUAGGGAGGCGAUUGAGGGGUAAUCGGACCGGGAGCAACGGAGCAGACAGCUUAUCGAGUUGUCUCUGCCGAUGUCGUUGAUUAGUGAAUCGCCAUCGCCAUGUUGUUGUUGGUGAAUUGAGAAUCUCGUGAGUUUGAGAGAUUUGCUUUGUCUGAGCUCAUCAUCAUCAUCGAAAGCUCUUUUGGCGUUUCUGAGGUUAGAGGCAGAGGAAUCUUCUUCCUCAGAUGGAUGCAUGUAAAGCCACUUGGAUUCUGAGAGACGAGAAGAUGAGAAAACCCUCGCUAACAGAUACGUCCGAUCUUCCACCAUCUUCAAUCACUAAAUCACACCAAUGCAGAGAGAAACAGAGUACUCAGAUUCGAUUUAAAGUGUUCUCAUUUUCGUUAAAUCACGAUUAUAUCGAUUCAGAAACACCGAUCCAGCCACCAAAUAACAAAACCCAGAAAUAAAAAUGUCAGCUUUCAAUAGUCGGAUUUUUCCAAUUUCGAAACCCAAUUCACCCAGAAAUGAAAAAAAAAUAAAAAAUCAAACCGUGGGGAUGGCUGAUCUCGAUCUGGGUAAGAUUCCUAGAAGAAGAGAGAAAAAAAAGGAAGAGAAAGAGAAGAGAUUAUAUAUUAACAAGGGAGAGGUACUUACGGAUUGAAUUUGAUUGGAUUAACGAAAGAAGAAAGAAAUAAAAGUUUAUAAGUUUUCUGUUUCCGUUUCUGUCGUCUCUCUCUCUCGUCGAAUCGGAGUGAAGAAGCGGUAUGAGUCUUUUUGGAGCUCAAAUUCAACUUUCUCUCUUUAUCCCUCUCUUUAACGUUUCUCUCUCUCUCUCUCUCCUCUUUGUUUAAAUUAUUCUUUGGGUUAAAAUGAUGAAAAUGUAUUUGUUAAUCUCACUAAUUUAAAUAAAUCUUUUUUCUUUCUACAUAUAGAGAGUCCAAAUAAUUUUAGAUAAGUUUUCUCUCUUUUUUUUUCCACACUUGCUAACGUAUUAAAAUCAAGAAAUUGAAACUGAUUCUAGUUUUGUUUUCUAGUGUUCAGUAUAAAUGUUCUAAAAGUUUCAGUACUUUACCUGUUUUUUUUUCAUCUGGUCAAAGGAUGUUAAAUUGCUUUGUAAUAUGCACGUCAUAAAUUUUUUAAAAAUUAUCAUAUAUCUGCAUACACUUCUCCAUAUUCUGUUUCUCUACAAAUAAAGAGUUGCUCAGUUUUAUAUUAUUUCAAAUAAAUACUCUAUUGUCAUCUCACAAUUUUUAUAUAUGAUUUAUUUAUAUAUAAGGUACAUUUUCAAUUUUUCAUCUUAACAGAGUACCAAUGUACUCUAAACUAAAUUCUCUUUCAAACAAUUCCAUUUGUACUAUCACAGAAAAAUGUCAUUUGAACUAUCUCACCCGCACUAUUCUAGGCCAGAUAUAUUAGUGGUAUAUGAAUUGAAGGAAAAAUUCCAUUAGUUUCGUUUGAUUUUAUUUUCAGUGGAAUAUAGUAGUGGUAUAUGAAUUGAAGGAAAACCUUUUUUUAUCAACUUGAACUGGAGGACAAAUAAAGGACUUUAUUAUAUGCAUUCCGAACAGUUUUUUUGUUAGGAAUAUAAUGCUUCUUUUUCACCGAAUAUAAUAAUUUUUUUAUGUUUUUCGAAUAUAUAUAUAUAUAGCUUCGAUAUGGUAAAAUAAAAGAAUAAAAGUUAUUCUUGGGUUCAUCCACUAGGGUGAACCUCUAGGUUCACCAGCCAAUAGGAUUUCAUUAUUUCAAUUUCGAUAUCUUUUAAAAAAGGAAACAAAAUAUUAUCAAGUUAUAUUAUGUUUUGAAAAUUAAAAAAGUUAAAAAAAAAUAGCAGCUACAGAAAAAAAAAUUAAAAAAAUCUUUUUAACGUCGUCAGCAAAACACUAAACCCUAAAUCCUAAUCCUUAAACUCUAAAUCUUAAACUCUAAACGCUUGGGUAAACCCUAAACCCUUGGGUAAACUCUAAACCUUUAGGUAAACCCUAAACCCUUGGAUAAAUCCUAAACUCUAAAUAAAAACACUAAACCCUAAAACUCUAAACCCUAAAACUCUAAACCCGAAAUCCUAAACCCUAAACCCUUGAGUGUUUUAGUGUUUAGUGAUUUUGAUUUAGAGUUUAAGAUUUAUCCUAGAGUUUAAGAUUUAUCCUAGAGUUUAGGGUUUACCCAAGGGUUUAGGGUUUAGGAUUUAAGGUCUAGGGAUUAGGAUUUAGGGUUUAAUGUUUUGCUGACGACGUUAAAAAAUUUUUUUUUUGUAAUUACUACUAUUUUUAUUUAUUUCUUUUUAUCUUUUAAUUUUAAAAAGAUAAUNNNNNNNNNNNNNNNNNNNNNNNNNNNNNNNNNNNNNNNNNNNNNNNNNNNNNNNNNNNNNNNNNNNNNNNNNNNNNNNNNNNNNNNNNNNNNNNNNNNNGUGCGUUUGCGGGAUACUUAUGACUGGUUAACUACCAAAUGCAGCAGCAGUUAAAUAAUAAAUUAACAAUAUUUACAUUUUAUACAAUUAUAAAAAUAUCAAAAAUAAUAAUAUUAUAAUAAAUAUAAAAUUUAUAUUUAGAAAGUUAUAGUUUAAAUUUUUUAAAAAUAUAGAAAAUAUUUUUAUUUUAAAGUUUUAUAAUAUUAAUUAAAAUUUAAUUGAUAUAUUUUAGCAUUUUUAUAAUUUCAGUUUAAUUUUUUUAUUAAUUUUUUUUAUUUUUGUAUUUAUAUUGUUUUGGAAAAAAAAUAAUUUUUUUUUAUCCUCCCGCAAACGCCCGCAACCGCAAACGCUAGCUGGAACCAGCUUUUGAAUUUAUGAGGUUCAGAGCGAUUUGGAGCGGUUUAGAGCGGUUUGAGCGAUUGUUGCAAAACGCCAGUAACCGCUACCAACCGCAAAAGCUGCGUUUGCGGGUGGUAGCGGGAAAACCAGUCAUACCCUAAAACUCAACGAAUUCAUUUUUUCCUCCAAAAAUUAAAUACAUUCCGAAUUUUCCUAUGUCAACCAAAAUGCAUUCAACUUCUGAAUCGCAUUAAUUACUGAUUUGCUAUAUAUACAGCUGGGAGACUUUUAUUUCAUUUAACAUUUGCUUCAUAAUUGAAUUUAAAUAGAUAAAACAAAAAAAAAAGUAAAAGUAAAAAGUUACAAACAGUACAGUAAAGAAGAAGCAGUAUCAAAAAUCUCCCCCUUUCCAAGAAUCAGGGUUUUUCGAUCGAAUUCGCGGCAAGUAACCUCAUUUUCUCCCGACAACAGUGGUCUUCUUUCCAGAUAUGUCUCUCCGAGUUUCGAAGCAGUAAGCCCUUUUAUUUACUGUCACUCGAAUACUAAAGACCAGAUCUUUACUAGUCCUAGGAUGAUUGAGAGAUUGCAAGGUUUGGUAGAUUCAUUCUCUGUUAGAGUUUUUGUUUUGAUGAUUGAAAGUUUGAAACUUUUGGUGCUAUUUGAUUUCAGAGCUGUGCUAAGCUAAAGGACAAGAAACAAAAAUCUGAGUCAGCAUAAAACAGUCUCUUAGUUUAUGGAGUUAGAGGCGUUUGGUUAAGAUGGGUUCGCUCUGUUGUGUGGCUGCCAAAUCAGAUAAGUCAGAUUCUUCUGCAAGUAGGGACGUUUCUUUUGGCACUCAUGAGCCUUAUUGGAGGACUAAUACAAGCUUCUCCCCACCUUCAUCGAGAUGGGAUGUCCCUGGCUUAACCGAUGGUAUUAGCUUAUAUGGUUCUUCUUCUUCCACAUCAUCAAACGCUAAUCUUCUUCCUACUCCCAACCUUUCUCAGACUCUUCAUUGGAAUGAUUUUGAGUCUGCUACAAGAAGAGGUUCGUUUUUUGUUUCACUAAAACUCACAUUCUGUGUAUCUUUUUGUGUUUUAACAUUUUGCUUCUGAUUCAUCUCUGCAGAUCAGGCUCUUAAGCAACUACCGUCUUGUUCUGACAUUGGUGACUCUGAACCUAACCGCAACUUCUCAAACCGGCGAUUUUUCUUGUCUAAACCGGUUCAUCCUAUACAUUCUGGUAAUGCUAGAGAUGUGACAUCUGACUCUGCGGAUGCUUGCAGCUGGAGCAGCGGGAGAACAAGCAGCAUUGAUUCUAUGGAUGUUGUUCUUGAUUGGGAUAAUCAUAACUCUACCAAAUCACAACGAGCAGCUUCAAGUACAUUUGUGUGCGGUUUGUGUAACAGAUACAUAUCACAGAAACCUCCCUGUGGUUCACGGUCCAUCGUAAGAAACCGAGACAUGCCAGUCACAGGAGUGCUUCCGUGUCAACACGUCUUUCACGCUGAAUGUCUUGACCAGUCAACUCCAAAGGCUCACCGGAAUGAUCCACCUUGUCCAGUAUGCACCAAACAGGAAGGAGAGCAGGACAAGUCACACAACGUUGUGUUUAGGCUUAAACCAUUUUGUGAAGAUGGGCCAUCAUCUACAAGACAGUGGGCCUGUGCUCAAGUUGGUGACUGUGUUGAAAGUGCUGUUAAUGUGCCGCCUAGAAACACCAUGAUAAUGAUAAACAGGAACAGGAUGAGGAAAAGCCUCUCGUUGAGAGGAAGCUCGAGCAAAGAUUCUCCGAGAAAAGUCAAGAGAAGGGGCUCAUUUAUGGAAAAUUUUACUAAUCAAGUUUCGUUUGUGCAUUCUAGAGGGAAAGAGAAGGUUUAAUGGUAGCUGGCAAAAGAAGCAGAGAAAUCAAAAGGUUAAUUCUUUGACCUACUUAAGCUUUUAACCUUUUGACAAGUAUCAUCAUUAAAGGACUAAAGUAUUUCAUUUUGGAGACCUGUAAGCAAAUUUGUUUAGAGCUUUGAUUGUUUAUUUUUGUCUUGUAAUCAUCUACUUGCUGGCGCGUGGCGACCAUCUUAAUUAACCGGUUUAUCAUCCAAUCGAUAAGUUUAUUUAGUUCGGUUUAUCUGCACAGCUGAGUUAGAGUUCGACUGGUAUAGAGGCUGUGGUUUUCUUUUUUUUUUGCAUGCAUGUGUCUUUUGCGAGCCAAGAUGAUAGUUGGGGCCGUCAUUGCCGCAUUUUCCGACGAAUUGACCGGUAAGAUCACACACUCCUCCUCCCGCUUAUGGACCAGACCAGCAUCCAACUCUAUUGUUUUGUGUAUACAGACCAGCAAGAGAUUGUUAAAUUGUUGGGAAAUAAAUUUAGAUAAAUAACAGAUGAAGAUUAAAAUUACCUUUCAUACGGUGUAGAACGAGGAACAUCAAAACCAUAAACAAAGUAGCAGAUUUCAUGAAUAAAAAUGUUAUUUUAUGACUUGCAUAAAACUUAAUAAUUUUUUUUUAAUAUCGUAAAAAAUAUCUAUCUUUUGUCAACACUUUACUAUAAACAAGAUAGGAUAAAAAUAGCUGUUCAAAAUAAACUUUGAGAAUUGAAAAUAAAUGUGAAAAUGAAAGAUGGAGCCAAGUCAACUAGACCGACAAAAUAGUGAUUUAGAUCACUGUUAUGUUUAGGAAAGUAAAAGUACUGCUAGGUUAUUCCAACUAAGUAACUAACAGUACCACAACAAGGAUCUCAGUGUUCCCUAAAUCCAAAGGAAGGCUCAAGCUCAACAUCAUUAAUCCUAGAGAGAAUCCUUCAGUCAAAUUCAACUACUUGAAAAGCAAGGAAGACCUUCUUGACACAUGCAUAGAUCUAUGAAAAGCUUAUGACGCUUUUCCUAGGGUUAGAGACUCGGGAAAAAGCUUAUGGCCGCUGAUGAAAAGCUUCUGUAAAUUCAACGUAAGAAGUUGUUAUGGGGGCUGCGUUGUGGGAUCUGUCUUGGAUGAAGAUUAUAAAGUGAAUGGCGUGAAGCGGUUAAGAGCUGUGGAUAGCUCAACGUUUAAAGAAUCACAAGGAACAAAGCCUACAACAAGCUACGGUUUUAAUGUUGGGAAAAUAUCAAGGAAUCUUCUUAGUUCCCAAGAGAGCCCACAACCACUAGAACAUUCUUACAACUUACAGUAAGCAACCAACGUCUAAGCCUAUACAUCGAAUGCAAUCUCUGUUUUGUUUUGUUUCUUUGUCGCAAUGAAUCAAGUUUUUUAAAACGAAUCACACGCUUGGAUAUUCAAGUUCAUCAACCAAUCAUUUUAUUGAAAUUGGAAAGACAAAAAAAAAAAAAAAGAAUAUACACAAGUUUCUUUCUAAAACUGAAACCUAAGCCUCUGUUUCAUCUCGAAUGUUCGAGCCAACAUCGCUUCUUCCUCCUCCGUCUUCUUCUCCGUUUCUCCUUUCGCCGUUACCAACAGAGAACCCAAUCCAAACCCCUACUUUCUUCUCUUCCUCCACUUCUUCGACAGGCAUCUCGUACCUACACAGCGGACACGUGGCCUGUCUCCCCAGCCACUCCUCCACGCACUUCGAGUGGAACCUGUGCUUACACGGCAUCUCCGCCGCCACGUCACCUUCCGACCACUCGUCGAGGCAGAUCGGACACGAGCCUCUUUUCUCCUCAUCUUUCCCGAUCACGACACGUGGCAAGCUCUCCACCGACGAUUUCGACGCCGGCGACCUCCCUUGUUUCUCUGAAAAGUCGCCGUUCAAGAACUCCCCCAAAGCCGAUCUGUACAUCACCACUCUUCUGUUCACCUGAUCGAUGACGAUCUCUCUGUGUCCGGUCGUCUGAUCGGUAUCCUCGUCGGCUUCGCCGGCUAGAGCUAAGAUCAGAGGUAAGAAUCGAGAGUGACCUUCGCCUCGUGGGAUCAUCCUCUCGAACAAAGCCGAAAACUCUGCAAAGCCCGCCUCAGAAGACAUCACGUAAACACCUAAACAAAGAUCGUGAGAGUGAAACGAAGGAUCUUUCUCGAGAGAGGAAACUGAGAAGAAGGCGAGAAGGAGAAGGAAGCUGAAAGAAUUAGAUACAAAUCGGUGAAUAACGGCUUAGAGAUUUAUAUAUGUUAGCGAAAGGUUUUACCGUGUUCACGAGGAAGCUGGUAAAAAGGAAAUACACGAAGGUUACAGAAGAAUCUAGAAACCGCUUUUGUUCAAUCAAUCAGUGUUUAAAUAUUUAAUAUUUUUUUCGUUAUCCCAAAUCUUAUCCUCUUUCAUUACAGGGACACAAAACAAAGGCUGCAACUAGAUUUACUAUUUUUGUAAUGGAAUGAUCAAUUCCAUAAUUGUUUUUAUCAUUUAACAUGUCCAUCAAUUCCGAAAAAAAAUUUAACCAAAAAAACAUUCCAAAACAAUUUUGAUAAAGAAUAAAUGAAAUGAAUCCAUUCCAUUUUUGUACUGCAUUUCAUUCAUCUUAUUUCAUUUCUCUUUAUUCCUUGUAUUCUUUUUUUUAUCUACCAGUUACAGCCAAAGACUAGAUAUUUUUACUACCGCUCUCAUCUACGUUGUAAGUCUGGUCAAUAUAAAUUCGCUGGGAAUAUAAUUAAACUUACAGAAAUAAUUUUCCAUAUCACUAAAUCAUAUCUUAUGACAAAGGUAAUGUAUAAUUAAAAAAUAAUAACAUUUACUAAAAAAAUUUAUAUUUGGAUUUAGAGUUUUAAUUAUUUGUGUUUGUGGCUUUGUUAAUUUAAAAGUGAAAAUGUAAUAAAAUUAAAGUGACUUAGCUUUUUCUUAAAUCAAAUUAGUUUUUAUUUUGAAAAAAAUAAUAUAGUACCCCCUCCUCCGUUCUACUAAGAUAGAAGUUUUAGGAAAAAAAAAAUUGUUUCACAAAGAUAGAUUUUUUUAUGUUUUCUAUACAAAAAAUUUUAAAUUUUAAUAAAAUUAAUUGAAUUUAUUAGACUAUUGGUUAAAAACAUUAUAAUUUAAUAAUUUCAAAAAUGAUGCAUGAUUAAUGUGUUUUUUUAAUAUGUGUGAAAAUACCAGAACAUCCGUAUUUAAGAAACAUCCGUAUUUAAGAAACGGAUGUAGUAUUAGGUAUUUUUGGAUUAUUUUAAAAAGUGCUGUUUUAAAAUUUUGCCCUUAAAUUUCCCAAUAUUCCAUUUUCUAUAUGCAAAUCUGGAGGUUUUCAAGUAAAAUAUGCAAAUCCGGAGGUUUCCAAGUAAAAUAUGCAAAUCCGGAGGUUUUCCCUCGGAUUUGAGUCUUUGUAUUUUUAACUAAGAAAUCCAAACAAAUCCAUUCAAAUCCAUUAUAAAAUCAAAUAUAUUAGUAAAUCCGUAUGAUUGAAUAACACUUGAUUUGAUACAGAAUUUAUUAAUCAUUAAACCAAUAACACAUGAUUUUAAUACAGAUUUGAAAAUCAUAGAACCAAUAACACUAGAUUUAGUUCGGAUUUUCAAAUCCAUUAAAAUACAACAACCAAUAACCCCUACUUAAUAUACACUGAAGUUUCAUUAAAAAAAGUUUCAUAUCUCUGCAGAGCUGUUUGACUUUCGAUACUUCUCGAAUGGGUAUCUCACUAUCUUGCAUGGUUGCAUUGACUUUUAUCUCUUCACUUCAGUUCAGUGUCUUGGAACUCGUCUAAAACCUUGUGCCCUCUUUCCAAUUCGAAUAGUGAGUAAGUGGUAUCGUUCUUCUUACUCUAUUCUUCUUCCAUGUGAUCGUCCUUUGUGUUCCUUCACAAUUUUGGACCCUUUUCUCAGAUACGUCCUUUAAACCGUUUGGCACUGAAGCAAGAGGCAAUUCCCAAGUGGAGAGUCCGAAUGCCUGAAAUUGGAGGAGCAGGAAGAAGGUAACUGCCAAAAGGAUUAUAAUACCAAAACAUCCGGAUCAUCUCAUUAACUUUCAACACUUACAAGUUUAUAAAACUACCGAGACCGGUUCAGGAGGUAGCUCCUUUUUGUGGCGCCACUAAAACUUGUUCUGUAAUCUGAACUAGGGCUGAAGUUUCAUGAAACAUAUAUUGCUUUAGAAUAUAAUUCCGUAAUUUAUAGGAAUACCAUUAUUAUAUCAUAGCUCAUCCUAUCAAAUUUUAAGCAUGUAAAACAUUAGUCCAUUGUACUCUCCACAUGAAAUUUGGAGUCUGGAAAGAGAAGAUAAAUUAGAAAAGAAUACAACAAAUCACUCAAAUAUAGUCAUAACUGAAACUUAGCAAAGUGGAGUCGAGCAUGACAUCUUUCUCUAGGUAAAACUGGACAUUCAAUAAACUCAGUUCCUGAUGUAUGAUGCAAAGGCAGAUCUGGUGAACUUGAUUGUUAAGCUCCGGAUCUUUGUUACAUUCGAUGCCUGGAGUAAACCCAAUGGCAUCUUUAAUCUCUCGAAGAUCAUAUAAUCCGUCGUCUGGUAUGAUUCCUAUAGUUACACCACAUUCAGAAAAGAAGGAAAAAUAUAUGUAGAGUUUAAUUAAGCAUACGUAAAUUAAUACAUUGAUUAGAUAUAGUGACUUUUAGAUUAAAUAUUAGUGUGUAUAUGUAUACCAGAGUUUGCGAGGAUGUGAACAAGAUUGGCCUUAUCUCUAAGUUAAAGAGUAUUCUCAAAGUAGUCAUGUAGAUCCAUUGUGGACUCGGAACACGUGCCGUGUUUUUCCACUCGUGUUUCCAAAACUUGAAACCAUCGUUGCUCGGACACGAUAGUGUUAGCCACUUCGUUUGCAAACUAACAAUAUCCGAUAUCUAUACAUUCAAAUAUGAAUUUGAUAUAUACAAAAACAAAAUAAACUGAAAGAAAAAAAGGAAUAUUUACACAAUCACAUAGUAUUAUUACUAUUACAUGUACCUUAGAUCGAUCAAAUUCACUGUCGGGAUUGCAGUUUGAUGGAUGCGAACCAUCAUUGUAAUUAGGCCAAAGAUCUUGAAUACCAAAAUCUGCCGCAGGUUUGCAACUAGGCUUUGUACGCAAAUGUUUUCAAAACAAAUUAAUUUUGGCUGUUUAUUUCUGACUUAUAUUAACAUCAAAAUUAGAAUUUCAUGGGGUACAUAUUUGUAAAAAACAAUGAUGAACUUGAGAUAAAGCAGAGUAUACGUAUCUGAUGAAGAAGAGCUAAGUAGAAGAAAUCAAAGUCUGCAGCUUGAGGAGGUAACAUGAAAACAUUAGAAACCUGAGGGUAAACCAACUUUAUACUCCCAUUUUAUGUACUCUUCAUUUUUGUAAUGCACACAUGAAACAUUUUGGCAUCAAAUUUAUAAAGACAAAUAGCUUCUCCUUAAUACAUUUUCAUUAAUUAGGUGUUAAAAUUCUCGCACGACGUUCUCUCUUUAAUCAUCUUAUUAUUUUUGAAAAAGAAUGCAAAAAUAUUUAGGUUUGUAACAUACUAUAUCUAGCUCUUGGUAUAAAUUAGGAACGAGCUAUUUAAAACUAACAUGUAUCCCUUUCAUUAUGCAUGCAAUUGCUGCUAUUUAUAUAUUUAACAAUGUGUACAAUAUUAUAACAAAAUUCAUUUCUAAUAUGCUACUUAAUGAAAUCUUUUGAGAAGGAACAAUAAUCAAGUACAUGCGAACCAAGUUCAAACAAUUCACAGGUAUAUAUAUCUAGCUACUAAUGUACUCCCUCCGUUUCAUUUUACUUGUUGUUCUAGACUUUGACACACAGAUUAAUAAAAUAUUUAAAUUUAUCUAUUUACUAUAUAAAAACAUCAUUAUCAAUAUACCUAACCAGAUUUCAACCAAUAGAAAAAUAGAUUAGAAUAAAAAAUCAAUAAAUUUUGCAUUGAAAUCAUAAAACGACACUAAUUUUAAAACGAAAAUUUUGCUCUAAAACGAAAUCUAAUUCGAAAUGUAGGAGUACAUACUAACAUUUAAUAAUUCGCUAAUGAAUGCUUUGUAAGAAAGGGUCAAAGACUCAAAAGUAUUGAUCAUAAUUAAUUAGUAACUGAGGAUCUGGCCACGAUCAGCGUUAAACAUGUCAUACAACUACUUUUGUCUUAUGCCUUCGAGUUAGGAAUAGUAUAUAUUAAAACCCUUAAAGAAAAGAAAGCAACAUGCCGAACAUAUAAAGUUCAUCAAAAUGCACGAGGAAUUAUAAUGAGAUCAAACCACUACCAACCCACUUCCAGUUGAUAAGUGUUUACCGAUGAUUCCGGUCAUUGUUUUUUAGUGUAGUAAAUGAUAGUGGUACUUGUCCAUGUUGGAAGUCGAUCCAAUUGAAGAGUAAACAAUAGUAUUAAACUUAAAAUAUUUCUUAGGGAUAUUUCUAAUAUGCUUAAAUAAUCAUAAAAUUUGGAAAGAUAUAUAUUGAAUGUAAAUCUUUAGUAUAUUGAAUUUAGAUCUUUAGUCAAAAAAUAAUAUAUAUAUAUAUAUAUUGAGCGUCACAAACUUACAUGAACGAUGUAAGUUUAUCGACGGUCAUAUUGAUUCGAAGGUCGUGAACGAUAUACUUGGUAGUCUAGAAAAUUUUGAGUAAACUAGCGGAACAGGUGGUUGAUGCGAAACUAGUUUGUAAACAUGUGGUCUAAAUUAUUUUGGUUGAAUCUGGUUUGUAUGUCGACAUUGGAUGUCCGUUUCGGGUUUGAUUUAUAUAUAUAAAUAUUUCUCGAAAAAAAAGAAACUUACACCAUGUGAAACAACUUCGAAAUCACAUAUCUAGUUGGUUAAAAAAUGAAACUGUUAUUUUAGUAAAACUUCACAUUGUCUACUUAAAAGUGAACCAUACAUUUAUCUUGCAUGACUCAUGAGGGAGGGAAAAUAUAUUGGAUACUGGAAGGUUUUGGUGAAAAACAUUUUAUAAAUAUACUGAACGUGCUCAUCCUAUAUGGCUUUACUCCAAUUUGAAGAUCUUCAACUAAUCUAUUCUAUGAUUCUUUGUCUCUUACGUCUCCUACUUAUUGAUUGUGAUUAAAGUGUUGGGAUGAUUUUGUUCCUCAAACAUGUAGUUUUCAACGCUUCUGUCUGUUUCUAUAUUUUAAUGAAAGAGAGAGUGUGUGAUGUUUUCUCUAAUUUCCAAUGUGUGAGGAAAUUGAAUCCUUCUUGAUUAAGUUAUGUUUCAGAACUUGAUAUUAACAAGUAUGUUAUCCUUUCAUUAAGCUUUCUCCUUGUUAGGGAGACAGACUCAAAUACAUUUAAGACAACAAUUUAAAACAUGACGACACAUAAUCAUCUUUCAUAAAAAAAUCUACUUCUUGGAAUAAAACUUUUAUAUCUAUAAUUUAUGUUCUUUGAAUAAUUUUCAUAUUUGGGGUGAAAAUAUUUAUUUGUAUAUAAUUUUGUUUAGUGGUUUUUAAUUAAUUGUAAAUCUUAAAUUAAGAAAGUCAAAUCUUAUUCUAGUUCUAAGUAAGAAAAAAGCUGAUUGGGUGAUAAAAAAGGUGUAAUGAUUUUCUAAAGGCUCACCGCUCACCUAAUCCCAAAGUGUAAAUUUUCAUUAAAAAAAGGCGCCCCACUGACCAAUUUUUCUUCUCUCCAGUUCGAAAACGGAGACGAAGGGCAUCGGCGGCGAUCUUCGACGGCCCUAUCGAUCUCCGAUUGCCAAACUCGAAUCCACAAUAAUAAUUAAAAAAAAAUCUUCGAAAAUCCACAGGAAACUAACAAAAAAUCGCUAUCGUGUGUGUUUCUUCCAAACUUCUUGGAUCUUUCGUCAAUCAUCACGUCCAGAUCUCAUGAUUCAUCGUCCGAUCUCGUGGCGGUUCCGUAAACCUUGAUGCAACGAUCUCAUGCUCGUUCCAGGUUGAAACACAAAUCCGAUAUGGAUCCUCUCCACCUUCAUACUCAACCUGGCCAACGAUCAUCGCUCGCCAAACCCAAGUGUAAACCGAAGAAAUCGAUUAUCCUCAUAAUCGUCGGUUCCGCCGCCAUCGCUUUAAUUAUAUCCUUCGUUUGCUAUACAUUUCUACUCUCCGGGAGGAAUCGGAGAGUUUCGCUCCGUUACAGCGUCGUCAUCGACGGCGGGAGCUCGGGGACCCGAGUUCACGUGUUCGGGUACCGGAUUGAAUCCGGAAACCCGGUUUUCGAUUUCAGCGGAGAUGACGGCUACGCUAGUAUGAAGCUGAGUCCUGGUUUGUCUUCUUACGCUGAUGAUCCGGAGGGAGCGAGCGUUUCAGUGGCGGAGCUUGUGGAGUUCGCGAAAGGGAGAGUUCCGAAGAGAGUGUUGAAGGAGAGUGAGAUUAGGUUGAUGGCCACCGCUGGGAUGAGAUUGCUUGAUGUUAGUGUUCAGGAACGGAUUCUUCAAGUUACUAGAAGAGUUCUUAGAUCUUCUGGGUUUAAGUUCCGAGACGAUUCCGCCUUGGUUAUCUCCGGUUAGUGUUUUGAUGCUUAAGAUUUAAAAAUAAAAAAAGUGUUGAACCUAAGUAUUGUAAAUAGUUCCUCCCAAGCACUAAUCCCGGUGGUGAAAGUUACACCUGCAACCCCUUUACCAUCAGAGCUGACUCGUUCUGGUUUUGAUGCUUAAGAUUAGAGCUAGAUUGAUCAGUGUCAUUGACAAUGCUGCACUGUUCGAGUGUUUGGUUGACAUGUUGUUGUUAUUAGUAUUGGACUUGUUUGAAUAAGUGCUAAUACUGGGACUUUUUUUUUUUGUAGGAUCUGAUGAAGGUGUAUAUGCUUGGGUUGUUGCGAACUAUGCACUUGGUUCUCUAGGAGGUGAUCCGUUGCAAACAACGGGGAUUGUUGAACUUGGUGGGGCUUCUACUCAGGUUUUAGUCUCCUUCCCUUCAGAUUUGUUAGACUUAAAAUAUAGAACAACUGUGUUGUAAGAUAGUUGAUUGUAAGGGAUGAUGACUGUUUUGUGCAAUCGUUUAGGUGACAUUUGUGUCAAGUGAGCAUGUGCCUUCUGAGUUCUUGCGUACGAUAACUUAUGGUAACGUUUCAUACAGAAUCUACAGCCACAGCUUCCUCAACCUUGGGCAGGUAACUUCUAAGAGCAGAGCGUUUGUCUUUUGAGCACUUUACAUCCUUUUUAGAGUUUUGUGUUUGGGAACAGUAUGUAACUGUGUUCCUAUUUGUUGCUUGUUGAUCUAAGAGUAUACAUUUCCUCAAAUUGUAGAACAUGCAACAUUAACAAAUGUUUUUAUCCCUUUUGAAUGUUGACGAUACUAAUAACUUGUUUUGCCUUGUAGGAUGCAGCACAUGAGAAACUAUGGGAAUCACUCAACAACUUAGGUUGGUUAUUGAUAACUUUGUCAAGUAAUCACUGCUUCACUGCACUUGAAAAUUUUGUAGAGUUAAUAAUUGCAGCUUUGAGUUUAGGCAAAUUGAAAUAAAUAUCUUUCCCCUCAAAGUUCAUACAGUGUUUGAAUCCUUGCAGCUGCAAACUCUACAGGGGAAGGAAUAGUUACUGAUCCUUGUACUCCAAAAGGAUACAUCCCCGACAAAAACUCCACAGGGGAAGGAGUAGUCUUACCUGGAGAAAGCAAAUUUACAGACUCACUUCAAGCUGCUGGUAAUUUCUCAAAGUGCCGAUCAGCUGCAUUCAACAUCUUACAGGAAGGAAAAGGUAAAGAGCGUUAUUGGCACAGCUGAAUAUCAUUCCUCGUGUCAGUUUUCUUUAUAUCUAACGAGUUUACUUUUGAGUACAGAGAAAUGUCAUUAUAAGCAUUGCUCUAUUGGAUCAACGUUCACACCUAAUCUUCGAGGAAGUUUUUUGGCUACCGAGAAUUUCUUCCACACCUCAAAGGUAUACAAUUUGAACGUCAAUAUUCUAUCUGUGUUUGUGGAGAUUUGUUUAACGUUGGUAGUAUGUUUCUUGACUGGAUCAGUUUUUUGCGUUGAGAGAAAAAGAUUGGCUAUCUGCAAUGAUUUCAGCCGGAGAGAGUUUUUGUGGAGAUGAUUGGUCGAAGUUGAAAGUGAAACAUCCAACAUUCAAAGACGAGAGUUUGCUUCGGUAUUGUUUCUCAUCAGCAUAUAUUGUCUCAAUGCUUCACGACAGUCUUGGUGUUGCUCUUGAUGAUCAAAGGUAAAAAAACUUACUGCACAAUCUUUUUGGCUUUGGGGUUCGUUAAAUAAACUAUGUUAUGUUUUUUUUUUGUCUGCAGAGUCGAGUUUGCAAGUGAAGCAGGAGAGAAAGGCAUACCACUAGAUUGGGCAUUAGGAGCGUUUAUACUAAACACUGCAACAGCCAUUUCUGAUAACAGUGGUAAAUCUAGAAAAAUUCUUCUUAAGUAGAGAUAUUAGUUACAAUGAAAAAGUAUUGUUGGCGUCUAGAUCACUUCUGUGGAGCGAGGAUACCUCUGUAUAAUAAAAAAAAAGAAGUAUUGUUUCAAAAGUAAAUGAUAAUCAUAUAUUUGUAUUCACGUUUACUCGUGUUUAACAUUACAAGUCUUCAUUGUUCUCUUUUUAAGUUAGGUACAUAUUAAAAUAUUGGAAACCAAGUUGAUUCAGAGUGGGGGUUUUUUUCAAUGUAUUGUAUGAAUUUUCAACAUUUUUCACAUAAAUGACAACUCAUUUCCUUUCAAGGUAGAUCCCACUAAAAACACAUCUGUGGACAGAUUCACAAUUAAACACAUCAAGAAAAAUGGUGAAUCAGUACUCUGCAGAUAAGUGUCUACAAAUAAUCUUGAUGUGUUAUUGUAAUCAAUGAAACGUGAUAACUAAUAUCGUCCAUUCAUGCCCUAUCUUGUAAGUUGUAAUAGAUAUUUCCUCUGUAACAGAGUUUGUCCAUUGGUAUCUCAUUCCGUAAAUAAAGCCAAACUGGAAAUAAGUCAUUUGUUCAUUAGAAAUAGAUCUGGCCCACGUGUGAAUAAGACGUAUGUGGUUCGGUGUUUAAUCACGUGUUUUAAUGUUACGAGAGUUUUUAAAUAGUAGCUCCAGUGACCAACUUCUUCUCCACUACGACAAAAAAAAACUGUAGACUGAGAGUAGCUACGAGACGAGCUUCAUCGGCGGCUGUCUUCAAACAGCCGUUUUCGAACUCCGGUUUGGAACUCCGGUUUCUCAUCAAUUAUAAUUAACUCAGGUUAUAAACCUAACUCGAAGAAAAGUAAUAUUCACAAAAGAACUUAUUGCGUUACGUUUUUUUCAUACGCUAAGAUCUCAUUAUCAUCUCAUCAGUUUUCGUUACGACUACUUUAAACGUUUUCACAAAACAAUCUCAUUACCGUUUUCAGGUUCGAAAACAAAAAAAUGAAACCGGAGAUUGAGGAGGAUACUCUCAAGGUUCAGAUGAUACCUGUCCACCGCAAAUCUUCGACGACCUACGUUUUCACCACUAAGUCCGAGUCAAAGCCCACGAAACCGAUUCUCCUGCUAGUCCUCGGCCUCUUCCUUUCCAUCGCCAUCACGCUGGCGUUUCUAUUUGUUCUCUACAUGAUUCUCUUAUCCGGAUGGAAUCUGAGAAGCUCGUUCCGUUACAGCGUAGUCUUCGACGCCGGGAGCUCCGGGUCACGAGCUCAUGUGUUCCGGUACUGGCUCGAAUCCGGUAAACCGGUUUUCGACUUCGGUGAGGAGAACUACGCUAGCUUGAAGCUGAGUCCUGGUUUGUCUUCGUACGCUGAUAACCCGCAAGGAGCGAGCGUCUCCGUGGCGGAGCUUGUGGAGUUCGCGAAAGGGAGAGUUCCUAAAGAGAUGUUGAAGAAGAGUGAGAUUAGGUUGAUGGCUACGGCUGGGAUGAGAUUGCUUGAUGUUAGUGUUCAGGAAGAGAUUCUUGAAGUUACGAGAGGUGUUCUUAGAUCUUCUGGGUUUAAGUUUCAAGACGAAUGGGCUUCGGUUAUCUCCGGUUAGUAUUUGGAAUAUAGGAGAGUGUAACUGUUUUGUUGUUAGAUUAUUUGGAUCUAUGUUUUGAGUUUUUUUUAUAUAUUAGCUUAGUUAAUCGAUAAAUAUUGGAAAAGUUAUGCAGGAUUUGAUGAAGGGAUGUAUGCUUGGGUGGUUGCGAACUAUGCACUUGGUUCUCUUGGAGGAGACCCGUUACAUACAACGGGGAUUGUUGAACUCGGUGGGGCUUCUGCUCAGGUUUGGUCUCCUUUCUCUCAAAUUUGGUACUAAUGAGUCUUCAGCCAUAUGUGUGGUCGUUGAUAAUUGUUUGUGCAUUUGUUUAGGUGACAUUUGUGUCAAGUGAGACUGCACCUCCUGGGUUCUCUCGUACGAUAUCCUAUGGAGGUGUUUCUUACAAAAUCUACAGUCACAGCUUCCUCCACUAUGGACAGGUAGCUUCUGAAUUCUGAGAGCCGAGAAUAUCAGAACUUGUUGAUAAGGCCUACCUUUAAGCAAAGCUGGUUCUGGAUAAAACCGAAUAAAAAAUUAACUUUAGGGUUUAGGCUCCAAAAAAUUUUGAAAAAAAUUACAUAGACAUAUAUCCAAAAAAAAAAAUUAGAUUCCUAAAUGUAUUUUUUAAAUGUAGUUGAAAUAUUUAAUAAGUCGCCUACAAGAAAAAAUAUUUGUAUCCUUUGCUUAUUAAUUUUCAAGAAGUUACUACGUUUUGUUGCCUUUUCAGGAUGAAGCACAGGAAGAGAUAUUGAAAUCACUCCAGAACUCUGGUUAGUUGUUGAUAAAACCAUUAAAAGUGAUCAGUUGUGUACAUAACUUGAAGAUUUUGUUAAGUAAGCUUCUUUCCCCUCAAAACUCAUACAUUGUUUCAAUAUAUAAUCCUUUGCAGCUGCAAACAAAGAUGGAAUAGUUACUGAUCCUUGUACUCCUAAAGGAUACGUUUACGACAACAACUCAGUUCUAGCUGCUGGUAAUUACUCAGCAUGCCGAUCGGUUACAUUGGCAAAGUUGCAAGACGGAAAGGGUAAGAGCAUUAUAUAUAUAGCUACAUAUUGCCGCUCGGUGUCAACUGUCUCCUUCAUCUCUUAUGGAUUCACCUUUGGUGUGUUUUUUUUUGUUGUGUACAGAGAAUUGUGCUUUUGAGCAAUGUUCUAUUGGUUCAACAUUCACACCUGAUCUUCAAGGAAAGUUUUUAGCUACAGAAAAUUUCUACCACACCUCCAAGGUAAUGAUAUUAUCCCCUAAAUUCAUAUUGGUCCACCUAAAAAUUUGUGGAGAAUAUAUUUGAACAUAAAGACAUUAUGCUUCUGUCUGAAACAGUUCUUUGGGUUGGACGAGAAGGAUUGGCUGUCUGAAAUGAUUAAAGCUGGAAAGAGUUUCUGUGGAGAAGAAUGGUCGAAGUUGAAAGAGAAAUACCCAACAACUAAAGAAAAAUAUUUGGAUGGAUAUUGCUUCUCAUCUGCAUAUAUCAUCUCAAUGCUUCACGACAGCCUUGGUUUUGCUCUUGAUGAUGAAAGGUACUAUAUGUUACUGCACAAACCAAGAACAGUUAGAUCAUUCUGGUUUUGAUCAUCAAAAACUAUGUUUGUUUUGUGUGCAGAAUUGAGUUUGCAAAUAAAGCAGGAGAAAAAGGAAUUGCACUAGAUUGGGCACUGGGAGCGUUUAUACUAAACACUGACACAACCAUUUCUGCUUACAAUGGUAGAUCUAGAAAAAUGCUUGGCUGAAGUUACGUAUAUCCAAAUACAUAAUACUAUGUAUGAUAUUUUCAUUUGUUCCAAUAAAACAUGUAAGUUAUGUCAUGUAUUUUACGUUAAGCUGUUUGUUGUUGUUUCUUUUUGUGAAAUAAGUUUAGCUACUCCUUAUAAUUGUGUUUGGGAUUUUCAAAGCUUUUACGUUAAGAGCGUCUGUUUUCAUUCAGCAUCCUUGUGGACCGUGUCAGAUUACAAUAUGUAGAAAUAGGAGACGUGACCAUGUCUUUCCCUUAUUGAAUCUUUUGUUGAAAAUUAAACUUGAUUUGGAUCAGAUUUUUGGCUAAUAAUUUACUAAUCAUUUUAGUCCAAACUUAGUCCAAUAUCUAGAAUCAUCCUCCACCUCUUUAGAAUAAAAAUCUAGAUAUUCUCAUAGAAUUAUCUAGAUAAUUAUAAUAAAAAAAUCUUAGAUAUUAUGGUAGAAUUCUCUAGAUUUAUGAUUAAAAUAUGUAAGAUAUUUUGUAUUUUGGAGGCUAUAAAUACCUCCACUCCCCUUUCAUUUUGCAUCACCAAGAAAUAAACAAAGCUUGUAACAAGUAAUAAAAUCCUCUUCUAAGUUAUAUAAUCUUUCUUCUUCACAAAACUUCUUUCUCUUCAAACACUUAAACACUUUCUCCAUCUUUAUAAAGUUUUUCAUUCCAACAAAGUGGUAUCAGAGCUACAAGUUCCUUUUGAAGAUGGCAAACAAUGGUGUUCCCUUCCAAGUUCCAUUGCUCACUAAGAGCAACUAUGACAAUUGGAGUCUUAGGAUGAUGGCUAUCCUAGGAGCACAUGAUGUGUGGGAGAUAGUCGAGAAAGGCUUCAAUGAACCGGAGAAUGAUGGUGGUCUAUCUCAAACACAAAAGGAUGGUUUGAGAGAUUCAAGGAAGAGAGACAAGAAGGCUCUCUGUCUAAUCUAUCAAGGAUUAGAUGAAGAUACAUUUGAGAAGGUUGCUGGAGCAAAGACAUCCAAAGAAGCAUGGGAGAAGCUUCAGACAUCUUACAAGGGAGCGGAACAAGUUAAGAAGGUACGUCUUCAAACUCUAAGAGGAGAAUUUGAAGCAUUACAAAUGAAGGAAGGAGAACUCAUCUCAGAUUACUUCUCAAGAGUCUUGACGGUUACUAAUAACCUAAAAAGAAAUGGUGAGAAGUUAGAUGAUGUAAGAAUCAUGGAGAAAGUUCUUAGAUCAUUGGAUUCGAAAUUCGAACACAUUGUUACCGUGAUUGAAGAGACAAAAGACUUGGAGACUAUGACAAUGGAGCAACUUCUUGGAUCACUACAAGCUUAUGAAGAAAAGAAGAAGAAGAAAGAAGAUAUUGUGGAGCAAGUUCUCAAGAUGAGAAUUGAUCACAAGGAAGAAAGUGGCCGAAGCAAUCUAAGACGUGGUGGCGGUCAUUUCCGAGGACGAGGUUGUGGUGUAAAUGGACGAGGUUGGAGACCAUAUGAAGACAACUUCAACCAAAGAGGAGAGAAUUCAUCAAGAGAUCGUGGAAGAGGAAACCCAAAAUCAAGGUACGAUAAAUCAAGCAUCAAAUGCUAUAGUUGUGGAAAAUUUGGACAUUAUGCUUCUGAGUGCAAAACUCCAAACAACAAUAGAGUUGAAGAGAAGUCCAACUAUGUUGAAGAAAGGAGUAAAGAAGAAGAUAUGCUAUUGAUGGCUUACAAGAAGGAUGAACCAAAUGAGGUUCACAAGUGGUACCUUGAUAGUGGUGCAAGCAACCACAUGUGUGGGAAUAAAAGCAUGUUUGUGGAGCUCGAUGAAUCGGUGAAAACCAAUGUGGCUUUGGGAGAUGAAUCGAGGAUGGAAGUGAAAGGUAAAGGAAAUAUUUUCAUCCGCUUGAAGAAUGGAGAUCAUCAAUUCAUUUCCAACGUUUACUACAUUCCAAGCAUGAAGACCAACAUCUUGAGCCUAGGACAACUCUUAGAGAAAGGUUAUGACAUUCGACUAAAAGAUAAUAGCCUUUCUUUAAGAGAUAAUGCAAAUAAUCUCAUCACAAAGGUGCCAAUGUCAAGCAAUAGAAUGUUUGUCCUAAACAUUCAAAAUGACAUUGCACGAUGUCUCAAGAUGUGCUACAAGGAGGAAUCUUGGCUUUGGCAUCUUCGAUUUGGGCAUCUCAACUUUGGAGGCUUAGAGCUACUUUCCAAGAAAGAAAUGGUGAAAGGAUUACCUUGCAUCAAUCAUCCAAAUCAAGUGUGUGAAGGUUGCUUACUUGGAAAGCAAUUCAAGAUGAGUUUUCCAAAGGAGUCGGAGACAAGAGCAAGAAAGCCACUAGAACUCAUACAUACAGAUGUAUGUGGCCCAAUCAAACCAAGUUCACUUGGUAAGAGUAACUACUUCCUUCUCUUUAUUGAUGACUUUUCAAGAAAAACAUGGGUUUACUUUUUGAAACAAAAAUCAGAAGUGUUUGAAAAUUUCAAAAAGUUCAAAGCCCAUGUUGAGAAGGAAAGUGGUCUUAAGAUCAAGUCCAUGAGAUCAGAUCGAGGAGGAGAAUUCAUGUCCAAGGAGUUUCUGAAGUAUUGUGAAGAUAAUGGCAUUCGAAGACAGUUGACGGUGCCAAGAACCCCUCAACAAAAUGGAGUAGCGGAAAGAAAGAAUAGGACAAUACUUGAGAUGGCAAGAAGCAUGCUCAAGAGUAAGAAGCUACCAAAGGAGUUGUGGGCAGAAGCAGUUGCUUGUGCGGUUUAUAUAUCAAACCGUUCUCCAACAAAGAGUGUUUUAGAAAAGACACCACAAGAAGCUUGGAGCGGAAGGAAGCCUGGAGUCUCACACCUAAGAGUCUUUGGAAGCAUUGCUCACGCUCAUGUUCCAGACGAGAAGCGGAGCAAACUAGAUGAUAAAAGUGAGAAGUACAUCUUCAUUGGGUAUGACGCUAACUCCAAAGGCUACAAGCUCUACAAUCCUGAAACAAAGAAGACAAUCAUUAGUCGGAAUGUCAUCUUUGAUGAAGAAGGAGAAUGGGAUUGGAGAUCAAAUAAUGAAGACUACAACUUCUUUCCAUCCUUUGAAGAAGAGAAUGUGGAGCAACCGAGAGAAGAGCCAGCUACACCACCAACUUCACCAACAACAAGUUCUCAAGGAGAUGAAAGCUCAAGUGAAAGGACUCCACGUUUUAGAAGUCUACAAGACAUCUACGAGGUAACCGAAAAUCAAGACAAUCUUACUCUAUUUUGUCUAUUUGCGGAUUGCGAGCCUAUGAACUUUGAAGAAGCCCAAGAAAAGAAGUCAUGGAGAAGUGCAAUGGAUGAGGAAAUCAAGUCGAUUCAAAAGAAUGAUACAUGGGAGUUAGCUUCACUUCCAAAUGGACACAAGGCAAUUGGUGUGAAGUGGGUGUACAAGGCAAAGAAGAACUCUAAAGGAGAAGUUGAAAGGUACAAGGCAAGAUUGGUGGCAAAAGGCUAUAGUCAAAGAGCCGGGAUCGACUAUGAUGAGGUAUUUGCUCCAGUUGCUCGCUUAGAAACGGUUAGACUAAUCAUUUCAUUGGCAGCCCAAAAGAGUUGGAGGAUACAUCAAAUGGAUGUCAAAUCAGCCUUCUUAAAUGGAGACCUUGAGGAAGAAGUCUACAUUGAGCAACCACAAGGCUACAUAGUUGAAGGAGAAGAAGACAAAGUCUUAAGGCUGAAGAAGGCGCUUUAUGGAUUAAAGCAAGCACCAAGAGCAUGGAACACUCGGAUUGAUAAGUACUUCAAGGAGAAAGGCUUCAUCAAGUGUCCAUAUGAGCAUGCACUUUAUAUCAAAACUCAAAACAAUGAUAUAUUGAUUGCAUGCUUAUAUGUUGAUGACUUGAUAUUCACUGGCAACAAUCCGAUUAUGUUUGAAGAUUUCAAGAUGGAGAUGACAAAGGAGUUCGAGAUGACCGACAUUGGAUUGAUGUCAUACUACCUUGGCAUUGAAGUAAAGCAAGAAGAAAAUGGAAUCUUCAUUACUCAAGAAGGCUAUGCUAAAGAGGUGCUUAAGAAGUUCAAGAUGGAUGACUCAAAUCCAGUUUGCACGCCAAUGGAAUGUGGAGUCAAGUUAUCAAAGGAAGAAGAAGGAGAGAGUGUGGAUCCAACACUCUUUAAGAGUUUGGUUGGAAGCUUACGAUAUCUAACGUGCACAAGGCCCGACAUCCUACACGCAGUUGGAGUUGUGAGUCGAUACAUGGAGCAUCCAACAACUCAAGAUGAGGAGUUUGCUAGGAGUAACCAAAUCAAGUUUAAGAGGGGGUGUUGAAAGUUAAACUUGAUUUGGAUCACAUUUUGGGCUAAUAAUUUACUAAUCAUUUUAGUCCAAACUUAGUCCAAUAUCUAGAAUCAUCUUCCACCUCCUUAGAAUAAAAAUCUAGAUAUUCUCAUAGAAUUAUCUAGAUAAUUAUAAUAAAAAAAUCUUAGAUAUUAUGGUAGAAUUCUCUAGAUUUAUGAUUAAAAUAUGUAAGAUAUUUUGUAUUUUGGAGGCUAUAAAUACCUCAACUCCCCUUUCAUUUUGCAUCACCAAGAAAUAAACAAAGCUUGUAACAAGUAAUAAAAUCUUCUUCUAAGUUAUAUAAUCUUUCUUCUUCACAAAACUUCUUUCUCUUCAAACACUUAAACACUUUCUCCAUCUUUAUAAAGUUUUUCAUUCCAACAUCUUUCCUGAUUGAAGACUUGACUAUUUCUAUAACAAAACAUUCAAUAAUUUUCAAAACAUGCAAGUAGGACUAUACAAUAAAUAUACUCGACAAGUUUGUAGCUGAACAUUUACAGCCACGGACGUUAAUAUGUUUAAAAAAAGAAAGAUGCGAGUUCUAUAAUAUUCUUCAAACCAAGUGUUACUUAGUAAAACAAAAAAUGUUUUACUUAUUUAAAUGAAUCAUAUAUACUUAUUCUUGGUACUUGAGUUGAACUUGUAUCUUGCCUUUAACCUUAUCCAUUCUAAUAAGCUAUCAUUUAAAAAUGUUUACUAGACUACCGAAACAACAUAUUAUUAUUCUACUCAAAUAAUACUCAACAUGUAUACUUUUAAAUAAAAAGAAAAAAAAAGAUUCUUUCAAAAAAAAAGAAAGAUGAACACAAUGUAAGAAAUAGCUAAUCAAACAAAAGUUCUAAAUUAUAUUUUAAAAUGGCAUUUUGUUCAAGCAUAAUAAAAUCGAAAAGCCAUAAAAUGAUGACAGUGAAAGGUUUUGUUAUGAACUCAGCUUCGGAUUAACAUAAGAAAAUUAUUAUAUGAUGUAUACUUCGAGUUAUCUGACUGAGUUUUUUUUUUUUUUAACUUUGAAUAAAACAACUUGUAUGUGUAUGUAUGUUUGUUGUCCAAAAAAAAGUAUGUGUAUGUAUGUUCUUGUAUAUUCUCUAUACCCUACCUAAAUUGUAAUCCACGCUGUUAAUGAUUCAUUAAACAAAAACUAAGGUCUAUGAGCCGUUAAAACUAUAGUCAACGGCUGUAUAGCUAACGGAGCCGUUCAGACAUCGUGAUCUCUCUUUCUCUCCUUCUCCUUGUCUUGCUAUAAAAAAAAAGGUGUUCUCCAUUUGCUUAUUUCACGGGAAAAAUCUUUUUAAAAAACAUUCUAUCUUCCCCACAAGUUCUUGGCGUCUCUGCUAACUUUCCUCCCGAUUGUUCUGCUCUUAAAUCAAGGACGAGAUAGCUAACCCUUCACGCUAUAAACACACCUCUUCCCCCGAUUUUUGUCCAGUUGUUUUUUGGAAAAAAAAAAAACUGAGAUAUGAGUGAACACAUGGUGGUAUAUGUCGAUCGACUGAGGCGGCCAGUUCUCGCGGGGCCGUCUAGCCUCACGGCGAAGGAGGAUAAUGCAGUUUAUGUCUACGAUGGAGAUACUUUUGCUACGGAGAUGUGGUCGGCAGAGUGUCGUAUUUGUCAGGAGGAAUCCGCUAUUAUGAAUCUCGAGAGCCCGUGUGCUUGCAAUGGCAGCCUCAAGGUACUUUUUCCUCUUUCUCAUUGUUUAUGCUCUUACUAUACGAAACUAUGAUUAUCUAUGAAAGAGCUAAAAAGAAAUGUCUGUUUUUUGGACAGUAUGCUCACAGAAAAUGUGUUCAACGUUGGUGCAAUGAAAAGGGAAACACUAUAUGCGAGAUUUGUCAUCAGGUAUGUAUGUUUACGCUUUUCUCCUCCUCUGUUUUUAUAUUUGAGGAGUAGUGUGAGACCUGAUGAAUCUAUACCAGAAAAUGAACCUUAGGUACAUUAGAUAGGACAUCGCAGAUAUAUUCAGAUUACAACUAUUUUUCUUGAGUUUUUUUUUUUAACCUGAAUUCAACUCAAAAUUAAGGCAUUAACUGGAAAGAUACUAUGUAAAGUUUAAAAUCUAACGCCCUUUUAACUUUGUAUUAUCCAGUCAUACCAAGCUGGAUAUACCUCUCCUCCACCUCCACUCCGGUCUGAAGAAACUACUAUUGACAUUGGGUAAUGAUCAGUUUCAUAACACUAUUGUAUAUGUCUUAUAAUUGGUCUGACUUCAUAAUGUGUUUGUUUGUAGUGGAGGAUGGACAAUCUCAGGUUUGGAUUUAGAUGAUCCACACCUCCUGGCAAUAGCAGAAGCUGAACGUCAGAUUUUAGAGUCUGAGUAUGAUGAUCAUACAGCUCCUGAUACCAGUCUUGCUGCAUUUUUCCGCAUAUCUGCCCUAACUGUAAGCCUUCUCCACAAGUUUUAAUUAUAUACUGACUUGUAAACCUGAUAGCAUAUCCCUUUAUUCUUUUUUUUUCUUUUUGUUUUUGCAGUUGAUGACUCUUCUAUUACGGUGCGCACUGACUAUACCAGAUUAUGCAGAUGGUGACACUUCUUCAAUACUUUCUGUAAGUUGAAUCUCAAGUUUCUAUAGUAGACUAUGCAAGUUUCAACUCCAAAACCACAAAACUAAUCUAUUAAAUCUCUUUGUAGCUUUUCUUACUCCGAGCUGCCACUUUUCUUCUUCCUUGCUACAUCAUGGCAUCAGCCAUUAGUAUCUUACAUCGGCGAAGGCAAAGACAGGUUAGCUUUUUAGACACACUUGCAACAAAACUUUUCUUAUCAUUACGACACAGGAUUUUUUUUUUUUUUUUUAAGCAAAAAGGUAAAUUUGCGUUUUCAUGUUUUUUUUUUCCAUUCCCCAAUUUUUUUGUUGAUUAGCAAAUACUUGCGGAACCGCGUUGCCAUUCCGCAGAGUUACCAAUAUCAGAGCCAAUGAUUUACUUUAAACAAAAAAAUGAUUGAACAGGAAGCAGCGGCUUUGGCAACCAGGUUUGCGUUGGUGCUCAGCUCACGUCAACCUAGAGCCAUGAUUAAUUACUUGUCCAUGGAGCCUUGAUUAACUUUUUGAUGGAAACUAUUGAAUUCAAACUUUGUUAGCUACAAACAAGACAACCACUAGGUCUACAUGAAGGUACUCUGAAUCGACUUUAUCACAAGUUAAAAGCUUAAGACAACCACAAGGGUUCUCUACAUGAAGGUCCUUCUGAAUCGGCUUUAUCACAAGUUAAAAGCUUAAAGAAGAAGUGUCCUAGCUUAAUGCAGAGCUUUUUUUCUUAAGUAAACGAAUCUAAUAAAGAUUCUGUGUACGUAGAGUUCAGAGUUUCGGAUUUUGUGCAAUGUACAAACUGUAAAUGUCUUUCUUUUUUUUUUUUUUGCUUCUUUCCUUUUGUAAUUUGAGCAUUGAGCUUUUAAGUGACAUUCUGUUGCUCAAUACUCAAACUCUUGCGUCAAGUUUUGAAUUCUUUGGUCGAAUACAAACAAAACUUACUAAGAUCGAGCAUCGUACAAGAAGCAUGUUCAUGUUUAACUGCGGACAGAAAGGAAGAGCAAAGCUAGUUGCCCUGCAAUAACAGUUCCUUGAUGUCAUACCCUUGGACCUAACAGAAACAAAAGACAAAACAUGUUUAAAGAGUUGAUCUGUUCUUCUAACAUUGUAGUGAUCAUCCUAGCAAUGAGUUCUCUACCUGAAGAAAAGUGAGCAGCAAAAUAACUCCCGAGUUCCAGAAACCGUGUAUGACCAUCGGGGUGAUGAGAUUGCGGGUUUGCGCAUAGGAUAACCCCAAAACCGAUCCUAAACCAGAGAUAAAUUUGCAGUCAGAGACGUGUUUAUGUAUACGAGAAAGAUGCUAGUGCUAUUGGUUUUUAGUUGUGUGUUUUCACCUAGUAUAAACAGCUGCGGGAAUUCACCGGGUGUGAGGUGCGCAAGUGCAAACGCAGCUGCGCUGAUUAUGAUCGCUAUUGGGGUCGGCACCCUUAAAAAUGCACAACAAAACAAAUAUAUGUAGUUAGCUUUUUGUUUUUUUUUUAUCAGAAGCAAAAUGAGAAGAAGGAAAAGAUCUUUUUACCAUUUGGUAAGAGAGACCAUGAAGAAUCCGCGAAACACGGUCUCCUCAAGAAGUGGAGCAAGGACUCCAGUUAUCCCCACUAAGCUUAACGUGCUGCACAAAAUCAUUACAUGCAACUGUGAUCAAACUCUAGUAUUGAUACAACAUCGCAAAUGCUAUUUCUUUUGCGGAAUAUACCUUAUGUUUGAGGAUCCAAUUAAUGGGAGAAGCUUCAUCAAAGAGUCCACCUGAAAACAUCAUUACCAUUAAUUAUCCAUCAGACAUUUCAUAAAGAAGAAAUAAACUAUGAUAGUGAAAUUCUCCUAACCUCUCUUUCUGGUGUCUCUGUCCUAAACAAGGAUAAAGCAACACCUGUUAACGCAAUAGCCCCAACAGCUCCAACCAGACCUAUCCCACUCCACACCAGCCAUCCUUUUUGCAAGUUAAAGGGCUGUUUCAAAUCUGAACAUGAAACAACAACCAAAAAAAAAGAUCAAAGGCCAAAUAAAAAGUGAAAACAGUGAAAGACAGUCCCCAGAAAAGAAAAAAAAAAAAAGAGUACCAUAGCGCAAAAUGUCUUCAGGAAGCGGCUCGAAUGUUUUAGCAACGGUGAAUAUAACAGCAAGUACUGCUAGAGUUGUUAAACUGCAAAAAGUAUUUAAAAAUAAAGUUCUUCAGCAUAAAAGCAUUUCAUGUUGACAUUAUCUUAAAAAAAAGAGUAGCUUGUUGGUAAAAAAAUACCCUUGAUCCAGGAAUAAGAUCUCCGCCUUGUCGUCCAAGCUCAGCUUCUGAACGUCGAUCCCUAGAUAUGGUAAGGCUACCAUCUCAGUUAACCCUGUCAAAACAAAACUGCCUGGGAUAAUAGUUAAUAAACUGAGAUGAUUAUCUUUUCAUACUCAACCAUACUUGUGGAGUUGUAUGUUUUUUUUGAUGGGAGAGUACCUUAAACCACAAGCAAGCGAAGUUAACGAAACUGUCUGCCACUCCCAUGGCACUUCCCAUCUCUCUAGUAUCCGCCACUCUGACCCACCUCCUUGUAACUGACAAAGCAACCAACUUUUUAUAAUUUUUUUUUCCGGGAAACCAAACAUGAAGCUAAUCAAAGUUGCUGCCGGAGAAAGUAGCUACCUUUCCCUCUCCUCUAGUUUCUUUCCCAGAGUUGGAAAUGCACGCUGACCUCUGUUUCCUCCGGUAAACCGUAGAUAACCGGCGGGUUGCGAAUCCCGGAGAAAACCGGCACAAACCGCCGCGGUUAUGAGUCUUCGGCGGAAUUAAACUUCGGGAACCGGAGUUGCAGAAAAGAGACGAAGAUUUAGAUAAACACGAGAUCAUCUGCGAAACCAUCUGAAUUGUUUGAUCGAAUUUUUUUUUUUCCGGCCAAAGCAACUAGAUUGGUAAGAGUGAUCAGGAAGAGGAUAAGGUCCGAUUAAAUAAGUCGGGUAGAAAAAACCCGUAAACCAUUUACAUAUGGGCCUAAACCCAUUAGAGGCCCAAACGCUUACACGACCAACUCCAAAGCUUCUUUGUCAGUAUGUUUCUUUUUUCUUUGUCAGUAUGUAACAAAAUAAAUACAUCCCUCGUGAUUCUAAUUUGUAAUUUUGUUCCUUAGGAGAAUGAUGAUAUCCACUCAUUUUUCUAUUCAUUUUAAUAAAAAAUUCAGUUUAAUUUAUAACCAAGACAAAAAAAAUAGUUAAUAUUAUUUCAAACUUUAGUACUAAAUCACUUGCAAGUUUGCCCCCUGUUGUCAUGGUUAAUGUUGUUGACCCACAUCCAUUGAACAAAUGACACUUAGCUUUAGAGACAGCCAGUAAAUUCAUCAUGUUUCCUCUAUUUAUACUCAAAUCUAAAUCAUCCCCAAGAAAUAGUAAUACAAAAUAACAAUAGAAAAAAAAAAAAAAAAAAAAAAAAAAAAAAAAAAAAAAAAAAAAAAAAAAAAAAAAAAAAAAAGAGAAAUGGUUACUUUAAGCUCAUUUCUUCUUCCACACCAAACACAUCUUUUGAUUUCAUGAUGAGCAAUAAUAGUAACACUCUCCACGGUCCUUUCUCUUCCUCUUCUACUUCUUUCUCUUACUUGACAAGCAAGGAAGACGCUCUCACGCAGAAGAAACUAAAGAUUGGUAUGAACAUGGACACCAAUCCAGAAGAGGAUCAAGAUGUUCUUGGAGUUAGCAAGAAAGCUUCUGAAGAUAUUGAGAUUGGUGUGUUUGGAGCUGAGAAGUACUUCAACGGAGAUAUGGAUUCCGACCACGGUUCUUCACUCGUGUCUCCUUCAAUCGAGAGAAUCUUCGCUGGUCCGAAGCAAAGCUCCAAAAAUUCCUCCGAAACUCCGAGUCUUCGGUCUGAAUCCAGCUGGAAUAGCCAGAGCUUGUUGCUUCAGAACAAGAAAAAGAAGAACCACAACAACAGCCCUAGCUGCAACAGUUACUUGCAGGAGAAGGAUGUUAGUACUAGCAACCAAAAGGCGAGUAGCAAGAAGAGCUUUCUCCUGAAUCUUGGCUGCAAAGGCGUUUGUUUUAACUGGAAUGCAGUGGAUGUCGUCGACGUCGACGAGAAGAGAAGAACCUCUGGUCUGAAGAAGAUCAAGACGCAGUUGAGUUUCUCUGGAGAUCUAAGCUCGGAGAUGAAGCUUCAUCAGCAACAACAGAAGGCAAUGUUAGAGCAGAGGAAGUCUCUCGAAAUAUUUGGAUCUCCUCUUAUUGAGAAGAGAAUCAUUUCAAAGAACUUACCAUGGGAAUACUCAACCUCUGCUAAGCACGAAGAAGAAGGAGAAGAUGGGAGUGUGAGUGAUUUAAGUUCAGAUCUCUUUGAGAUUGAGAGUGUAACAGGGAAGAACAAACCCUAUCUUGCAAGGCAAGAAAGCAGCGAUGCAGAGUCACCGGAUUGUUAUGCGCCAAGCGAGGUAAGCAUAGCUUGGAGUGUAGUAACGGCUAGUGUUGCGGAUUACUCUGUUAUGUCUGAAUGUGCUACGAGUCCUGUCAAGCACCGGUCAUUCCAGAUUCCUCGAAUCCCUAUAACCGCCAAAUCAAACCGAGAAAACGAGCCUCAUAGACAUAAACCGAGAAGUGGUGGUGGUUUGUUGUUGGGCUGCAAGAGUCAUAAAGCUGUCAGAGUUUCAGGUGAUUCGUACACAAACAUGAACAGAACACCGAGUUAUGUUCCAAGGUUCCCUGCAGAAGCUAAUCCAACAAGUAUCGAGACAAGGAGGAGAGUAAGCAGCAGUUCCGUUUCUCGCACGCAAUCUCCUUUUCUGUAUAUUUAGUGACGCCCUAAAAAACCUGAGGGUCAUUUCUCUUUACAUGUAAUGUUUAUUGAGUGAAAAAGAUUUGUUUUGUUAAAUACCAUAUUUAAAUUUACUGUCUUGUGAUCCAAGAACUCAUUUAUCUUCAAUCAAUGGAGGACAGCAAAUCAAAUAUUUAGCAUCAAUCAAUCCUCAAAACACACAAGUUUUACCGACCACAAAAUGAGUCUAAGAUGAAAUGUGAUCCAAGAACUCAUCAAUUAUCGCUUGCACCAUGUGAACACUAGACACUUGCAAAAAAAGACAUACCAAAGAAUGCAAACCCAUGUGACCUAUGAAUGUGUAGCUAUAGCCUUUUGUUGACUCAGGAGACAUAUCUUAAUGCAGCACAGAGACUGGUCACAAACACACAAUGGUCCACCUCAUUUUCAUGUGCUUGUCUCAAGAAUAGAAAUAUACCUGAUUAGGGGUUUAGAUUUAACGGUUUAAUGAAACUCCGUACGAGUUUGCCUAAAAGAGCCAAUAAUGAGGAGUCUCAAUUAAUCAAUGACAGUGUCCAUUUCACCUAACAUGUCUUAGACGCCAAUCCAGAAUCUUCUGGUCCAGAACUCAUGUCAAGACCAUGUGGUUGAUAGUGAGAUAAAGUAGAAGAAGACAAGAAACCUUAACUGUAUCAUUGAUGAUGAUAUGUCUCGGUAACCUACUCAUGGGGAAUGGUAGGUUUUGGGAAGAUGAUUGAUUGUAACACAGCUUAAAGUUCAAAUCCAAGAUUCCGAUCUCACCAUGAUACAAAGUACAAAACCUUUAACACAGUGAACAAAACAAGGUACUUGAUUGGCAUAUCAUAUUUCAGAUACAUAGAUGAACUCAGAUUUGUCAAGAAAACAAACCCUGUCCUAAAGUAUUAUUGGAUCCUGAAGAUAAGUAUUGUAUCGUUUUCAAAGGUCCACUUUAUCAAUUAUUGAGCAAUCAAUCACUUCAUUGGUCUAUGAAACUAAACCAGAUAGAGAACCAUGAUCAAGUUUUCAUGUGUAAGGGAUAAGAAGAAGAACAGCAAGAAGCAAUGACUGUGUGCGUAUGAAGUUAACUAAUAAAGGAGAUAAAUGAGACCCUCACAAGUCUCAUAAUCUGAAAUUGUAAGCAGAUUCAAUAGAGAAUAUCUGAAGUUUUUGAUAUUACAAAAUGAGUUUUAGUGCUAGCUUACACAGAGACAUACAUCCGCAGAUGGAAAAUGAGAGAUUGGAAUCGUAUGUACACAGUUACAAGUACACAGAGAGGUUACAGUAGUUCUCUAGCGAGUAAAUGAUGAAGUAACGUAGCAGUGAUAACGAAGUUGCAAAAAAGGAAAAGUUACUCAUCUUUGGAUGCUUUGAUUGGCCGUGUCUCAAAUCCACCAGUGGCUCUCUUCUCAAGCGAAUAAGGCAAGUAAGUACCGAGAAUCCUAUCCCACAAGACAAAGAACGGCUGCGAGAAAUUGUAUUUACUCCCAUAGAGCUGAUGAUGAACAUCAUGGUAAGCAGAGUUGUUACUGAAGAAGAUGUGAAACGGGUUCCCGGGGAGCCAUAGUCCACAGUGAUCAUCAACCGUCUUGAUGGUAGCGAAGGAGAAGAAAAAGAUAGCCGUUCUUGGGGACAUACCGGAGAAGAGGAAAGACAAAGCACCACCGAUGGUGUCCAAGAGAAGGCCUUCUAAAGGAUGGUUGUAUAAAGCUCCAUACGAAUACGGCACGAUGAGGCGGUGGUGUUGGGAAUGGAUGUGCUUGUAUAAGAACUUGUUGAUGUGCAUGUAGCGGUGAAUGAAGUACUGCCAAGUGUCGAUUACGAGCAUGGCGAUGAUUAACUGUCUAGCGAGGAGUAGAAGGGAGAAUUGCUGCGUCGUGGAAGCAUCUGGAUCAUCACUUCCUGUUAUCUAAAGAACAUAAAAAAACAAAGGUUCAAACAGGAAAAAAGGAUGGUUAUUGAUGAUGCUAAUAAAAUGAACUUCCACCAAUAAACAUAUCUAGAGUGUACGAUAUAACAUUCACAACCUCAAACCAGUUUCUUCCAAUACAGAGAAUCAUCACAAUUUCAUGAGUCAUGACUCUGAACAAGAGAAAAAAAAUGAUAACAAAACGAUCUUAAUCUAAAACAGCAAGAAACAAGAGAGAUCUGAGUUUUGAUUCAUCAGAUAAUCCCUAGGCUUUAAAAAACUCUUUUAAUUUGCAUCGUAAAUCAUCUACAACGACGAAUCAUCAGCUUCUGGACAAUUCAAUAAAUAGAUCCCUAACCCAUCCAUAAAGUUUCGACCUUUCAAUCAAAGAGUGUAAAGAGAGAUAAGGAGAGAGAGAGACCUUGAAGAGGAUAACGGAGAUGAUGGCCUGAAGAGUCUGCUGAAGAAGAACGCCCUUGACGACGGCAGAUUUGGUAACGAGAUUCUUCUCGUCCUCGUCCACCUUGGAAUGCAAUCGAUACCUCUCCAAGGAUCCUAAGCAAACGUACAUCCCUGAAUACACCCAAUACACCAGAAUCGGCACGAACGUCCCCAGAAACUCAUCCGAAAUCUCGAAACCCAUCGUCUAGAAGAAUCCUAUGUAUAUAUGUUCUCCUAGACGAAUCAAACACCGCCUGAAGAAGAAAACCGAAUCAGUCUUCGCUAAUUCCUCCCACCUAAACUAACACGAAGAGAUUCAGGAAUCUUCUUCGUCCGCCGCACGGUGUUUUUUCUUUUAUCUCUCUUUCUUCUUUCUGCGUCGAGAGGAAGACGAAGAAAGAAGAAGACGCGGAAGAUCUAAUAUUAUUAUGACUUUUCAAUUUGUGGGACCCGGUUAUUCUGGAUUGUCCACGUGGCCCGAGAGGAAUGGUCAAGAUGCCAACUGGUUUUGAGUUUAAUGCGCGCUGAUCUUAAUAUUAAUAAAUAAUCUGAUUAAAAUUAUAAUAUACGAUAUUGAUUUAUGUAUAAAACUCUAAAAGAAGACAUAAUCAUUUGACUUGCCUCUCUGUCUAAUUCGGUGGCUCCCUCGUGCCCUCGUGGGGUGGUAAUAAUUUGUUUUUUUUUUUUUAAUUUUUAUUUCUUUAUUUAGUUACAAGUUUCUAAACUGGAAACCUUCAUAAGAUAUAUAUAGCAAAAUGUUGGAUAAUACUGCUCUUACGAAAGUAAGAUCUAAUGUCGAAUACCAAAUAAAAUCACACCAAAAACAAGAGAAACUGGAACACUAAAUAAAACAAGUAAAUAACGAAUCUAUUGGUACAACAAGCCUAGUGCACAAGAUGACUCAUGUGCCAUAGCAAAGAAGGCAACUUUGUUAGCAAAACAUGACAAAGUCGCUUCCUUUGUGAGGGCCAAAAACAGUGGGGACAAGAACAAAGAGACAGCACAUGUAAUGUAACUUUAAGACUCUGCUUUUGUUGGCUUCGAUGAUGAUUCCUCCGGACCUCCAGAUUCUUCCACAAGCUGGUUUAAGAUUAGACAGCCAAGAGCAAGCAAUGUUAUCUUUCUUAAGUCGAGUAGAGUCAGCCAGUGAUUGAGUGAAAUAGAGAGGUAGAGAGUGGAACGUACCAAAGAACCGACUUGCUCAUAGGCUCUCAUUACUUUUGAAUCUUCCUCGUAUUCAUAUCCCACUUGUAGAAUCCUUGGCCCGUUCACUGACCAAAAUGCCCUUCGUCCUGCCUCCUGCAACAUCAACCCAAAGAAGUUUUGACAAUAUCAGCGGACAUUUCUCUAGAAAAAAAAAAAGAAGGCGAGAUAGAGAAUUGUUAUACCUGUAAGAUGAUCAAAUAUAUAGCUUCUAGUGUCUGAACACGAAUGUCAGCAUCAGUAACUGGCUCUCGCUCAAUGGCAAGCGCACUUCCAAGCUCAGGUGGCAUUUUUGAGAUAUCUUCCUCACUGUAUAUCUAAGCAAGGUAAAAACCGAAAAGUCAGAAGCUGUUGCCCUGUAAAUUUGCUUUCAAAGAAGUAGCAGCUAUAAAACGAAAUCAACAAACCUUACUGCCUGCAACUGGUAGAAGCAGAGCGGGCCAGAGAAACUCUGAUAUCAAGAGAAUAUUCUCCAGCUGGUUCUUGGCUUCAAAGGAGCAGUUACGGAUAGUCCCAGCAACCUGAAAAUCAUUAAGCAUAAUUCUAAAGGAUAGGUUAAGCAAAGAGUUCAUUAAAGAGGACAAACUCUUUUAAACGUACCCCUUUCUUACGCAAUUGGUUUGUUGAAUCAAACUGCCUAAUGAUCUGUUUUAAUAGUCCCUUCUUUGGCUCCAGUAACAUUUUCCUCCCAUCUUCUGUUUUCGAUACGUUCACUAGGAUUGAGCCAACAUGCUCAAACUGAUCAUCUGUUGCAUAGAAAAAGAAAAUAAAACAUCAAAUUAUUCCUAUGUUCACAGAUAAGCAAAGGAAAACAAUGGGGCACUAAACAUUAACACUAAGCAACUAAACAUAACCUUUCCUUAUGAGCUCUGGAAACUACUCAAUGAUUUAAAUGCAUAUAUAACGGAGUCAGAAUCACAAAUAUAAGUGGACAACUUAUAACUAGUAAACUAUGGGACUUGUAGACCUUUGGGUCUUACUAGGGAUUAGAUAUAUAUAUCGAAAAUUACGUAACAAACUGAAGACUAAAGAGCUCAGAGCAUACCAGCAGUUUCUCCAGAAGACCUGCAAAACGACCUAACAAGCUUCAUGAUAUGUAGUCCACGCAUCUUCUCGUCCUCAAUCUAACAAAUGUCAUAACGUUUAACAUAACUAGCUACCUCACCGUUAAACUACCAAAAGACAAAACCCCACACACUCUUACACAAAGUUCGCUUAAUAAUGCAAAUAAAAUCUGAGGAUAAACUACAAAGAUAAAUGAAUAACCUGAAGCAAGGAAGAAACGCCAUCAUCCAACUGAGUGAGAUUCACUAGAAGCAUAACAAGCAAUCUGGUGAUACAAGACUCUGGAUUAUACAACAUGUCCAUGGCCACUUUGAUCAAACCCAUCUGAAUCAUCUUCCCGGCUAAUUCGGAGUUCUGGGAAAGGUUUACAAGAGCCUGAGCUGAUGGCUCUGAGACCUCCUGAUUCAAAAAAGUUUCAACCUUUAUCAAUACUACUAAUCCAAAUCUAGAAAAAAUUGGAGCAUUUUUUAGGUUUAACUAAUCAAAGGACCUUGCUUUCGCUAAGGAGACGAGACAGUGAUGGAAGUAGAAUCUCGGAAUACUUGGAUAGAGAUUGUAAACCUUCCUCCGAGCCAGUUAAUCCACUAACAAUCUCCACCGCAGCUUUCUUCACCUGCACGUUUGUUUCUUCAUAUAAUCAGAAUUCAAACCCUAGAAUCUAAAGUUGUCGGUGCAUCUCAGAAACAGAUGAAACCAAAGUUAUAUAUAUAUAUAAAAAAAAAGCUUACAGGAGGAGAAGGAGACGAUAGAAACUCGACAAGCUCUUCUAGCUCCGUCGCCAUAUCUCUAGUCUACGAGGAAGAGUUUCGCCUUAAAGAGAGAGAGGGUAAUCACGUUGUGCUCUCCACAAACUUCUCUGCGCGCAAUGUCUCCGCCGGCGAACGCGAAAAAUCCUCAGGGUUUUUGUUUCUGUGACGAAUACAAACACCCCAAGCUGAUCCAGAAGGUUCCUAGAACCGAAAAGGAAAAAAACAUAAAUGAAAACCGGUCCAAACAUUAAACCGGGAUCGCGAACCAAACACAUACAAAAGACAGAGCCGUGCCUCCAUGUCGGAUUUUCAUCUCCCUCUGUAAGAAAUAAAUCUUUCACGUUUGGGGGUUGAAGAAAAGAUGGAAGCUUGUUUGAGAUGUUCACGAGGAGGAAGCAAUCUAAUUGAAGCGUUGAGACCAAUCGGCAAAUUCUACGGUUCUCUCCGCUCUUCUUCUUCCUCUGUCUCUUUCAGCACCGGUUAGUUUCUGAGUCUCCUCUGUUCCAGUGAGAUGCAUUUUGAUUCUAGUGAAUCCUAAUCUGUCAAUAAGGGUUCUUAUAAACGAUAAUCAAAAUGUAAACUUGAUGCACAAAAACUGAUUUUUUUUUUUUUUUUAAAUUGGGUCUCUGUGAAGAAGACAAGCCGGUGAAGAGAGCUUAUGAUGGUUUGUUACUUGAUGCUGGAGGAACCCUUUUGCAAUUGUCGGAACCUGUCCAUGAAACUUACGCUUCCUUGGGCCAAAAAUACGGUCACUUUCUUUAUACUUGUUCGUUUCUUCUUUGCUUUCUCGGAUGAUCUCUGAGUUGUUGUAUCUACUUCAGGUCUCAAGACAACUCCAGCUGAGAUCAAGCAAGGUUUCAAGAGAGUUUUUGCAUCUUCCUGGCCUGAGAAGUUGCGUUACCAGGGAGAUGGGAGACCGUUUUGGAAGCUCGUUGUUUCGGAAGCUACUGGUUGUUCUGAUAAUGACUACUUUGAAGAAGUCUACCAAGUGAGUAUUAUUGAAGCUGAGUUCUGCUCUUUUAAAUAGUCUUCAAUCUUCAAAUAACAAUUGCUUUCUUUGGCUUAUGUUGUUCUCUUAGUAUUACGCGAAUGGUGAGGCGUGGCAUCUCCCAGAAGGAGCUUAUGAGACAAUGUCACUACUGAAAAAUGCUGGAGGUUAUUGUUUACAUUGGAGAAGUAGAACUCUCUCCUAUUGUUUUGUACUCGUUCUUGCUGAUUUCUGAAAUUUGGGUCUAAGGUGAUUGCAGUUAAGAUGGCUGUUGUCUCCAAUUUCGAUACCCGCCUUAGGAAGCUCUUGAAGGAUCUUAAUGUCAUAGAUUUGUAAGCUUUGCCAUCUUUUGUUUAUUAAACCUGAAAAGUGAGAAUUCUAUAAUAAGCUUUGCAAUCUUUGAUUUGCACUGUUAAAGGUUUGACGCUGUGAUUGUGUCCUCAGAAGUCGGAUACGAGAAGCCUGAUGGCCAAAUCUUCAAAUGCGCUUUAGGUUCUUCAUCCUCAACAGAAGUGUUGUUUCCUUUGAAUCUAAUUUUAUACACUACUUAUAUUGUAUAUUGUGUGUCAUGUCGCAGAGCAAAUCAGCGUAGAAGCAAACAGAGCAGUGCAUGUUGGAGAUGAUGAGGGAGCAGAUAAAGGCGGUGCAAACGCCUUGGGCAUUAAUUGUUGGUGCGGCACAAAUACCUUUUUUAAGUUCUUCGUCAUCUCGGUGAUUUUUAAAUCCUUCAUGAUCUAUUCUUUCGUUUUAUAAGCAGGUUAUGGGGAAAAGAUGUGCAGACAUUUUCAGACAUACAAGAUCGGAUUUUGGUUUCAGAACACUAAGCUUCAAAGAGCCUAUGCCCAAUGUUGUUUAGCUCUGGUCCAAUGGAGGGAGUGGUGGAGCACCAUUGGAGUGUCUGGCAUUACUAAUGCGAUUGGUCCUGCCAUGAAAGUAUUUUUAGUUACCCACCUUAGGUAGCUUAUGCAUUUUAGGCAUUGAUAAUGUAAUGGGAUAAUUAAAAAAAAACAUCGUUUGUCUUGAAUAGUAUUCAAACCAAAACCAAAUCAUAUUUCCACCGUCUUUACAAUCGCAUGUUGCAAUACAAUUAUCCCAGGGGGGAACAAAUUGUAUUGAGACUAAAGAAGCGUCAUAUUGAUGUUUUGAGUUGUUAUAAAAAUUUGCUGUACCAGAGUUAUUUGCAUGCAUACUUUUAUAACAACUCAAAACAUCUAUUUGACGCUUCUAGUCUCAAUACAAUUUCAUAACAACUCAAAACAUCAAUUUGAUACUCUGGAAAGUGUCACAGACAAAGUUUUUUGUAAAAUAAAAACUACUUAUUUAUUUUUUCGGUAUUUUACAAUUAUCCCCGGGGGAACAAAUUGUAUUGAGACUAAGGAAGCGUCAAAACUAGUUUUUAUUUCAUAAAAAAUGUCAUAAUUUUCUUUCAGAUUUUCAAUCAAGUAAAAUGCUCAGUCCAGUAAAACCACGUUUGAUUCUUUCUGAGAGAUCCAUAUAUCCCUACGAAGUUAUAUGGGCCGUAACAAGUCUCUUUUAUAUUUUAUAUGGGCUUUCCCUCAAGCCCAAAAUAAAAACCUUUCAGUUGACCUAGAAAAGACCAGAUUGUAUAAAUUAAAAGCCAUUUUUCUGAGAGCAGCAGCCACUGUUGUUCAGGUUGAGGAGAGUCGCCAUGGGAAGAAGUAAGUUUCUCGAUCUCUUUGAUUGCUUAUGUCCUGUCGUAAUUCCGACAAACAUUGUAGCUGAUUAAAAUGUGAAUCCGUUGUAGGACCGGCUAGGUGUUACCGUCAGAUCAAGGGCAAGCCCUACCCUAAAUCACGCUACUGCCGUGGUGUCCCGGAUCCCAAAAUAAGGAUCUACGAUGUCGGGAUGAAGAAGAAAGGUGUCGACGAGUUCCCAUUCUGCGUGCACUUGGUCUCGUGGGAGAAGGAGAACGUCUCCAGCGAAGCGCUCGAAGCUGCGCGUAUCGCUUGCAACAAGUACAUGGUGAAGUCCGCGGGGAAAGAUGCUUUUCAUUUGAGGAUUAGGGUUCACCCGUUCCAUGUUCUGAGGAUCAACAAGAUGCUUUCGUGUGCCGGAGCUGAUAGGCUCCAGACUGGUAUGAGAGGCGCUUUCGGAAAGGCUUUGGGGACUUGUGCUAGGGUUGCGAUUGGUCAGGUGCUUUUGUCUGUGAGGUGUAAGGAUGCUCAUGGUCACCAUGCUCAGGAGGCUCUGAGGAGGGCUAAGUUUAAGUUCCCUGGUCGUCAGAAGAUUAUCGUCAGCAGGAAAUGGUAUUUUUUUUAUCAUUUCACAUUGUUUUUUUUUAUUUUUUUUGACUAAGCUCAUCGAGUUUGUGACUUUUUUUUUUGUUUCAGGGGUUUCACGAAGUUUAACAGAGCAGACUUCACGAAGUUGAGGCAAGAUAAGCGUGUUGUUCCUGAUGGUGUCAAUGCUAAGGUAUCUUGCUGAUGCAUGAAAUUAUUACCACACUUUGAUUCUUUGACUAUCUCUUUUGUUUUUGAGUUUGACAUUGUCUUUGUUCUUUUUUGCAGUUCCUCUCAUGCCAUGGACCUUUGGCUCUCCGUCAGCCAGGAAGUGCAUUUUUGCCAGCCACCUACUGAAGUUUCAGAACUGUUGUCUGCUCAUCCUUUAAACUUCUUUUUUAUUUCCUUUAAACUAUUGUCUUAAAAGUUUUUAAUUGGACACAUUCACUAUUCUGAACCUUUGUGGAAUGAUAUUUGCUCUCUAUGUUGGCCAGUUUACUUCUUUUGCAAAGGUUUUUCUCAUUGCCAAAACCUUUGAUUCUUGUUUACUGCAGAACUACUAAAAUUAAAGGAUUU